ACACAAAUCAGUUUUUAUACGAACGAAUAAGUAAAUUGAAUUCACAACUUACAAAACACAACUGGAUGUAAUCAAAUCAUAUUGCAAGCAUGAACAUGGUUUCGAAUCACCCCCUAACUAAGAGGGGUUUAGUUCCUCAUACUCACAAAACAAAGAUUAUUGAAUUGAAACAUUGAAAACAAAAGAAAGAUUACACCUAAAACGUUCCAGCAAUCCUCAAUCGAAUGACAAGCACGUCCAAGGGCUUUCCUCCUUCCUCUUUGCUGCGGCACAAGGGUUGGUGGUGAGUUUUUGGGGUUAUGGGUGGUGUAAAAGUAUGAAAUGGUGUUUAGGAUGGUAGUAUGGUGCGGCUAGAAGUGUUUGGGGCAGAAACUAGGGUGAAUGGUGAAGUAUGGAUGUGGUAGAGAGUGGGGAUGGCUUUCUGGCGUGAAUGGGAGUGAAUGGAUGAUUUGUGGCUGGAAAAAUGAGGUUUAUUUAAAGGAUUUCAGGAAUUAAAACCCUAGGUUAUUUAGGUCAACAGGAAAUUAAGUCAAAAGCUUCUAGAAAUAGGAAAUCAAAUCAGAAAACUAAAGGAAAGUGCAAGGGAUAUGCGGCAAGGGCAUAGAACACAAAAGGAAUGUGUUUUAAUGCAAGGAAAUAGGAAAGAACCCUCUCCCUUGCACGGCAAGGAAGAGGAAAGGUGGGACAAGUGCGGCAAGGAAGUGGAUCAUGUAAGGAAUGUGUAAUUUGUGUCCUAGAAUGCUUAAAAGGCCUUCAAAGUUGCUAGAACAUAGGGACAGUUAGGAUUGAAGAAAUGUCAAACCAAAAUAGGAAACCUUGGCUUAACUUUCCUACUUCAAGUAGGAAUCCUUCUUAGAGUAGGAAUCCUCAUUCUUCUAGGAAUCCUCAUUUGAGUAGGAAUCCAUCUUCAAUUAGGAAUCCUUCGUUGAUUAGGAAUCCUUUCUUCUUCAAAUCUUCAAUUUCGUUCAUUCCUUUUGCUCCAAGCAUGUGAUCAUCAUUCCAAGCCCAAUUUUGCUCCAAAAGGCUCCAAAAUGCAUCUUCUUGCAUACUUUAUCCUUAGAAUCUGAAAACACACAAAAAUGACUUUAAACACUAAAAUAACUAAGGAAACACAACGUAAAUGCACGAGAACAAGCCAAUUAAGUCGCAUAAAUAUACUCCUAUCAAGAGAUACAAAAUUAGGGUUCAAAUAAAAUUUCCCAUUUUUAUUCAACUUCCUUAUUUUCUGCUUCAACAAAACUUGUGACCUUUUGAAUUCCCCUUAUUUCUCUCUUCAUAUACAAAUGCCAUGUCCAAUUGAACUUGUAUCCAAAUCCCUCAUUUUUCAAGAUUUCUCAAACCUCGUUUGUUGGAACUUCGUAUAUUUUCCUUCCCCUUCUAUGCAUUCAGUCGUUCACAGUGAAGACUGAGCUUUAAACUGUUCAUAAUGGCUCUUAGCACUCUGGAUGGCCUUCUGCAGGUCUACAUUCGCCUCCAUAGACGACUCUGCAAAGUUGCUCAACUUACCACAAAACCCCGCCAAGCUUAUUUGGAAAUGGUCGAAACCUGAAAUCCAGUCUUGAGAAACUUCAUCUGUUGGCAUAUUAGCACCAGAAUCACUACCAUUGGCAUGCUUCCAGGAUGUUAAAUCAGAUAGGCCUGCACCCUUCUCCUCUUUCUUUUCUUGGUGUGGUAAAAAACGGUAAGUUUCAGCUACUAAAGUCUUUAUAGAAUCUUCCACUUCUUUGGCAGGUAAACUGCCAAGCUUUUCCAACCAGUCACCACAGGUGACAUAUAUUGGAGGGCCAUAGUUCCUAUAGGGGAUUUCGUACGGCCUCCUUUUCUUUUUGGAAGACUUCUGUGGAAAAGAGAUGCAUUUUAAAAGCCAUCCGUCUAUAGACUGCAAGUAGGACUUUUGAGCACCAUUCCACUUCAUAAAACUUGAUGAUAGGGAGCUGAGUUCGUCUUUAAGCUGGAUCGUAAUCUGACGACGUGAUUCUGACUGUACGGAGAUUUUGGUGUUGCUGUUGUUGUAAGCUAUUGAGAUUAUGUGAAACUGAAGCUUGUGACAUACAACCAACCCCUCCCACAUCCGCCUUAACCUACAAUUUGGAGCAAAGAACAAGGCAAAUGAGCCUAGAAGUGAAGCACUCGUAUCAGACACAAUAAUAUAUAGGAUUAAGACAAAAAUUAAUCAUAUUAUUUCCUUGUUCUACAUUCCACUGUUGCCCAAAACAUAUAUGCAUCACGUAGUUUUUAGCAACCAUUAUCAAAGUUCCAACAUAACUCAUACUGGUCCUAACAAACAACGAUAAAAAUAAGAGAAAAAUGAACAUACAAAUACGCAAAGCUUUUUUUCUGCAUCUAGGCAUGGUACCACAUUUCAAACUUUAUGGGUUUCCAAAAUUGAGUUUCUAGGAAAAAUAAUUAAGCACUAGCAAAAAGGAACAUGCAAAUACAUACCCUAUUAACUCUUCAAGUUGAGGCUGGAGCUCUUUGUCUCGUAAAUCCUCAAUCCUCUUCGAUAUUGAGUCAAUUCUGUGAAUAGCAACCCCGAUUCUAGAAUGUAGAUCCUUGACAACAGCACGAGUUUUAUCAGUUAUUUGAGAACUCUGUCCUUUUGAUUCUAGCUGCCUUAAAAUCUUACACUUCAAGCCAUAAUCCCUUCUAACCAUCUCACUGGCCUGAAAAUAAGAAUUUAAGUUCAUAUAAAACAUGGGAUGACCCAUAUACUCUUCAUAUCCGAAAUAUGUUUUUUAAAGUGAGAGAAAUAUUUUUUUGUUUCAGACAUAACCAUACAAACAAGGUCCACAUCUAUCUGCAUAUAUCUGAAAUUUCUGAUAUUUUCGACAGUUCGAAGUCAAUUUAAAAUGGACCUAAUGGUAUUUCGUGUUCACUUGUUUUUUUAAAUUUUAACCAAGUAUAGAUUCCAUCAAAAAGAAUAAAAGGUAGAAACUGGCAUGUUAUAAGCAUCGUGAAAACAAAUACAAAGGUGAAGCCCCAAAAUUGAGCUCAGUUUCUACAACAGUAUCAAGCUGCUAGAAUACAAGUCACCAUUUUUCAGCAAUAAUUCAAAUAAUAACGUGAGAUUCAGUAACAUCAAACUGAACUUUAAGCUUCUACGAUAUUAAAAUGCGGUUACUGUCUGUAUCCAAUUCCUCCCAAAAGGUUGAACAAAACCAUAUGUAAGCAUAAGUAAGGUCAACAAAAAAUGGACACCAUAAUAUAAUUUAAACUAACGAGUUUGUUUAACUAUUUUGUGUAAUGAAAUUUCUAGAGAUCAAAGUGUAUCUAUUUUUUGUUCAUUUGAAGCAAAAAUAGUGGUUCACCAAAAAAAAGAGAGUAAUUUCCAUCAUGAUGAUUAUGAUUAUAAACACCAUAACUACUGCUAAUUUAUCAGUAGUACCUUGACUUCAUCAUAAAGCUUCCUCUCCCACGCAUAUAGCCUAUCCAAGGUUGAGGCAUGACUGCCUGAAUUCAUGCAGAAGUUGUCAAAGAGGUGACCAGUAAGAUCAUCCAUAUCAUCUUUUAAGUUUGCUCCCAAAGGAUUCCUUGACGAAGAGGAUCGAGAUGAUGUCGUCCUAUGCCAAGUUAAGUACUUCACAGAAGUUUGAGGAGCCUCUGGCAAACAUAAAAAAAGAAUCAGUUCAGAAAGCAAGGUACCAAGAUCAAGACACCCAAAUGAAAAGGCAGGCUAACAUUAAAACUUAAAACCUAUCAUGCAAUGAUGUGAAUUGACUCUAACCACUGAACAUCUAAAUGGUACUUUGUGUACCUACCACGUCACUCUCAACAGUGAUAAAUCAUAUAUGUACGUAUAGAUAAAAUAAAUCUAAUGAAAACACACAAUUUGUACUGAAGUUCCUCGUCCAAUUUUUCACAUAUUUGAGACAAAAGAAACUAAAUGAGGAAUGAAAGAUAAUGCACUAACAUAUUGAUGUUAACUUAUAUUUUCUGCAAAAUGUAAAUAUUGGGGGAUACCCCCACAAUGAGCUUCAUUUAUCGGAACCAUCUAUUAUUCAAUUCCUUCCUUCAGGGAUCAUCCCAGCAAACGUACAGUAGCACUCCAAUAAUAAAUAUAGCCUGAAAAGAACUAUUCCUAAACUCCAAAAAUACUGGCUGACAAAACGAAUUCUAUCUCACAGAAGAUCGACCACCUCCUCAACUCUAAAAGACUAGUUGCCAUUAGGAAUAGUAUUGGGAAAGAGUAUUAAGAAAAUUAUAAUGAUUGCAGUUAUAUUCUUCUAAAUACAACUUCUGUUCUAGCAUGUUGCCACACACUCAAACAUUUCGGGGAACUAAAUUUUAACUUCCCUAAGACUUUCUUGUUAUAUAAAUCUUUUGGUGGUUUACUCGUCGCUAAUGUAACUAACCAUGCCAUAGCAGUUUAUGGUAGUACAAUACUGGUUUUUCCCAGUUUUUGGUUGUGCACUACUAGUUUUUCCUGAGAAGUAUCGCCAACUUGUGCAUAACCAUGCCCAGUUGACUUGACAAAUAUGAUCCAAGUAUAAACCUGGAUAAACUAGUCAUGUACAUUAUCAUUACAUUGAAUCAUAACACUCAAAUAGAAGUGAAAGUGAAAUGCUUUCACAUGAAGUUGGCUAAAAUUGAUUUUGAUCACGUAGACAAGGAUUCCACAUAUUUCUAAUUUUUAAUAGAAAAAAAAAGGACAGACAUCAAUUGCAGUGUACAUUAAAGUAAUUACACAAUGGCAUCUUUGCAUCGGACGAUACAACAACCUUUGGAGAAAAAGGACAGACAUCAAACCCUAAUAAAUACACGUAGGAUAUCAACAAAAAAACAUCUAACAUCCAUAGUGUAUACAGCAGCCAUACUGAUUUGAAAAACUAACAGAAACCCCAUAAUAGCGUUUUUUGCACUAGACCGUGAAGGUUUAAAACCAAUGUGUCUGUCAUGCAUCUAUGACAUUAAAAAUUAAAAUAAAAAGGGUACAGACCAGGAGGCCUACCUUCCUGAACUUGACUUGGGUCUUCACCACAGGAGAAACAACCCUUCAAGAAUUUAGAUGAAAUUGAUCCACCUGCUACAGUAGAACUCCUAGUGUUCAUAUCUUCAGACUAUCAAAAGAAAACAGAUUUCUAAUGGUCUAUAAUAACAUGAAAUUAACUCAAAACAUUUUAGAAUAUCCAUUUCUUUUUUCAAUUUUAUAUGUCCCAUGAUUUAAAUACUGCAGUCUUCGUUACAUCCAGAAACUGUUGAUUGUAUUGUACCUUACUCACAGCAUAAAGCAGUGCCACUAGUCAUCCUUGGAUAACUAAAACAUACUUAAAGUGUUUUCAUAAAACGAGUGAGAGAGAGAGAGAGAGAGAGAGAGAGAUCUUACUUUCUUUUUCCGGGAAAAUUGGACGGAAAUGCAACUUAUUUGCUUCAAGCAUUCUAGGAAUUUCUUUGCCACACUCGAAAGCUCUUAUAAAGAGAAUUUCAAUAUCUUUCAUGCUUGAAAAAAAAUCUUUUGGGGCAGCCUUACUUUCAAUGCAAUCUUCUUAACUGUUUUUUUAGUUGAGUCAGUUUCAACUGCAACUGGUGAGGAUGUGGCUCUCAAUGGUGAAAAAUCAGGUGAGUUACUUUUCUCCCCAUUCAAUAACUCAGUUUCUGAAGUUACACUUCCUGCAGAAGGCAUUGUAGGUGAAGCACUAGCUUCAAUGUGAUCCUGCACUCUAUUAAGAUUUUCAAAACUUCGAACAAGGGUAUUUGUAGCAGGCUCAUCGAAUUCAUCUUCAGAAUCCUGAGAUUCUUCCCUUCCAUGAAAAGAAGCCUUCUCUUCUUCAUCUUCCAUAUCAGGAAUUCCCUCCUCUUCCCUAAGCUGUCUAUCAUCGUUAUUUUCAAACCCCUGGUUCAUUCCCUUCCCUUCUUGAAAAGAAAAUUGAUGGUCAAUUGGAUGGAAAAAAUCAAAGUAAUCCCACGGUGGAGUUUGAGGUGGGAGUGAAGAAGCUUCAAUUGGUGACGUUUCAGGUUUUCCAGCAGAUCGAGGUGUGGUAUUCUGUGGGGUGCUCGAGGAGGUUACUGUUGCAGUAAGGGGAAUAGGAGGUUUUUCUUCAACUGUUUUAGAAAAGCUGCCCUUCAUAUGAUUUGCCUGAAAUCGUGUAGAAUUUGGAGGAGAGGGAGAUGGAAAAAAGGUUUCAGCUGCAUCUAUGCGUUGUGACACAGAUGGAGAAGAAAAAGAGAAUUGAGAAAGACUCUUGCCAGUUUGAACAAGAAGCUCUGGCGUUGCACUAGUGGAAGUGUACAAGGAAGACUCAACGGGAGCCCCAAGAUCGACAAAUUUCCUAAGAGCUGUUCCAGUAUUCUUUAGUGAUUGAAUAUACAUAAAAUGAGCUGCUGCUAGCGAGCAUCUGCCGUCAAGUGCCAGUUUAACAAACUUCUUCCUUUCUCGACAUAGCUGCAGGGCCUUAUCUUCUUCUAUUUUAGAGUUUGAGGCUCCCAUAUCUAAAAAUCUGGCCUAAUAUCCCUCAAGUACAUAUCAGGACAUAAGAUUCUUCCUGAAACUGAAUUUAAUAGAUGUGUUAAACAACGAGAAACAAGUGCGAUGGUAAAUAUUCUACAAGAAAUCAAUAUCAUUAGACUUUAAAUUAGAGAUAUAAAAACAAACAAACUAAUUGCAGAACUCGUAACAAAUCAUACAGAUGAAAGAGGGUCACAACACAAGUGGCAAAUCUAAUUGCUAGAAAAACAAAUAUCCGGUGACAUUAUUAUUAAUCACAAGUUAAAGAUGUUCGAGAAGAGCCGCUUAGUACUACAGUCUAGUGGUAUUCCUCUUUACUUAUAAGUGAAAUGUCAUAGGUUCAAUUCUCGCCAAAGGAGAAUUUGAACCACAUUAUUGCUAGUCCACUGUGAGGCUUAGCCCACCUCCUCCCCCUAUAUUAAAUAAUAUCGUUUGUUCAAAAAUAUAAAAUAAAAUAAAAUAUUCAAGAAGAGAAUUCCAGAUGGCAACCCCAACGAGCAGAAACACAAAAUCUUAUCAGGGAUCAACAGAAUCAACAAGAAAUACACAAAAUCAUAUCAGGGAUCAAAUAACAAAAAGAAAAACUGAAUUUGUUAAAGCAAAUUAACAAAGAAAUACCAAAAUUAAAUUGUAAAAAUAACAAACUGUAUUAGGCUGCAAGUAAGUCACUGACCCUGCUUGUUUGUUGUUUUUCUCAAGUUGAGUGAUUGAAUUUUUGCAGCAAAGCAGAUCAAAUUCUUGUAAUUCAAGGGCCCUGAUUGAUUCCUGCAAGUUAUCAAAACACAAUCGGAGCCGGAGGCUCUGCAGUUUGAACAACACACAGACGGACGAUUAGAUUAGAAUAUAAACUCCAAACAAACAAACCCCAACAUCAACCUCACAAAUAAACCAACAAUCAAAGAACGUAAGAAUUUAGAGAGAGAGAGAGAGAGCGCGACCGACGUAUGAGAUGGCGAAGGAUUGGAGGCAUGCAAUUGCAAAAGGCAAGCGAUGAGUAGGGACCCCACUCUGUCCAACACUGACUCUGCUGCUUUCUCUUCCCUUCUUCUUUUUCUAUAAAAUUAACCUUUUUCGUUCUGCCUUGAAAAACAAUGUAAAGAAUAAAGAUAACCAAGAAGUUGAUUCCUAUUCGGUUUGCGUGAAAGCUAAGUCUAUGUCAAUUAACUGUUUUGACUUAGAUCGAUGUCGACGUCGACGACAGUUCGAAUUUAUUCGUUUUGAUUAAUGAGCAUUUAGUUAAUUCUAAUUAUAAACAAUUAAACCAUUUAAUUGUUCUUGUUCAAUUUUCUUACUUUUUUGAUCUCCCUUUUACAUGGUGUACUAUUCAUUGAGUUCUAAUUAGCUAGGGAAUGGGCAAAUAGAACUAUUGCUAAUCGAUUGUAAAUUGAAUCUUACUUUCAAUCUCCCUUUUAAUGAAGAUAAGUGAUUGCUAAUCUUUAGAGUUUCCAUAAGUCAUGAGUGAUACAUAGCAAUAUGUCAUAACUACUCAAGAUAAGCAGAAGAUGUGGAGAAUCUGUUCAGUUUGGGAUUACAAUGCAAUACGAUCAUUCUCUAUAUCAAUACUUUUGAUCACAUUGUUUGGUUGAUAGCUUAUUCAUGUCUAUAUCAGUACUCGAGCCUCUGAAGAGAAUACAUAGUAUGUACUGAUCUAUUCGAUUUGUCAAUGCCCAACUGGCAAUCAUAUAAUCAGGAACAUACAACCAACUAUGGCCACAACAGAAGAAUAAUUCAUCCCCCUUCAAACGUGACACACCUUGUAUAAAAAAAAAAGAGCCACAAAUUACUUUUUUCUUGUGUUUGAUGGGUCAUUGAGCAUAUAUUCGUAAAAAACGUCUAUCACUCUCGAAUUUCUAGCGGUCACAUGAGUGUUACUCUUUUGGGUCGGCUGGCACACGAUCAGCAUUUUCAUUUGUCUCAGUAACAUCACCGACAAGAGCAUUUGGCGUCGCCUCUGUGUGUUCUUCGGUAACAUCCCGUAUACAUUGGUGUUGAAUGUAGUGUCAAAUAUAAUCACAUCAUCAAAAUGACCAUAACCACUUCGUGACUUAGCAUUCGCCUAAAAGAAAUUGCCAAGUACUCCGCCUUCGUCAAUCUCCAUCAUCAAAACCCAAAUGGAAUGAAAAUGGGUAAACUAACGACACAAAACUCACCAUCACAAUCUGCGUUUCUUCAAAGAUUCUAGACGAACUAACACGCCCCAAUCCCGAUAUUCCCCGAUGACUUAGCAUUCGCCUAAAAGAAAUUGCCAAGUACUCUGCCUUCGUCAAUCUCCAUCAUCAAAACCCAAAUGGAAUGAAAAUGGGUUAACUAACAACACAAAACUCACCAUCACAAUCUGGGUUUCUUCAGAGAUUCUAGACGAAUUGACACGCCCUAAUCCUAAUAUUCCCCGAACACCAGGAUAGGCACGUGCUGGCAAACACCCGAGGGUGACGAAAACCAUUUAUUGAAUGCAAAUGCUAAGAACAAGGAAUAAAUAAGACUUCUAAAUAUAAAAAUAAUAAAUAUACAUUUUAGGAACGUGUUCAGAGCACACAUCUAAUCUAGAAUACUAAAAGAAUUUAUAUAAAAAUUGAAUGAAAAAAGGAGUGGGUCCUACAUUGAGAGGACUCGAAUAUGCCAAUGCGGAAGUGCCUGGAUGCCAAGAUUGUAUACCUCGAUUCUAAGUCCUGAAGGGGGCGCAAAACAAACAUGAGUAGACCAAGUUGAUAUAUAUAUAUAUAUAUACACACACACUAAAAUAGUUAUAAACGUACUAACCUCCAGGUUUUAUGAAAACACAUAUAUAUCAUGAUAAACAUAGGUUUUCCGAAACCUAGCAUGUCGUGCAAUGUCUCAAAUCAUAACUUGUAUGUAUAAUAAUCACUAGUGAAUGUCCGAUAACUCUCCAUGCCCCAUGCCGGCUCCCCGUCUCUGAGCAAACAGUUAGAGGAAAAAACACUUCAGGCCCUAUGCCAACACCAUAAUCGUCGCCCAAGAUGGACCGGAAUCUAUCCUUUCAUCCCGUAGCGGAAUACGGACCACUAGGUAAGUACAAAACCAUUGAACAUAUAUACAUUUGAAAAGCAACUUCAUAGUAUAAAGUCAUUCAUCAUCUAUACUAUAAAGAGGUGUUCUAAACGUGUUCUAAAUAUUAUAUCGUCAUCCAUCAGAUAUUCUAUAAGAACACGAGUUAUAGAAAAAAUAGUAAUAAUUCAAAUUAGCCUCAAUAAGCAUGUUAUCUCACAAAACAUUUCAUAAAACAUAAUCAUCAAAUCAUGCUUUUCAUGUAUGCAUUUCUACUAUUAAAACAUGCAUUUUUAGAAGGGGUCCACUCACAGAUACUUAGCCACCGAAGAGCCAUGCAAACUAGCAAACACGGAAACGCCACAAUAAUUGCCCCUAAGCACAUAAAGGGUCCAAUUAAUACAACUAUAUUAUAACAAUUGAAUUUGGGAAAACGGAUGUUGGAAACGGAUUCAGGACGCCAAAAUUAGCCUAGGAGGGGUUCUAGGUUAAGGGUUUUGGACUUGGGUUAGGGUAAGGCCGCGAAGGCCUGGGAGGUUUCUUAGGCUGGGUUUCACGCCAGAGAGGAAGGCCGGAGUUUCGGCCGGAAAUUAGACAUUUUAAACGCCUAUAACAUUGUCAAUACUCAACGAAAUCUAGUGAUUCAAAAACGAAAAUCAUAGCUCUCGAUGAGACUAAGAGAAUAUUACCUCGCACGAUGUCUAACUCGUCAUGGUUUAGCCAAAAAACGCCUCGAAAGCUGUGGAGGUCACCGAGAAUUGGGUAAGAUUCAAAUGGAUAUAACUUCUUCAAUACUCAACGAAAUUGGGUGAAACAAAAAGGGAAGUUGUAGUACUCAGCAAGACGAAGAUAUUGAUACCUUGCACGUUGGCCAACUCGUCGUGGUUUGGCAGGAAAUUAGCUUGAAAGCCGUUGGACUCGCCGGUAAAACUAGGAAAAUACCACUGAGUUGUUUCUUACUACAAACCUUCACCAAAGCACCUAAAAUGAGUCCUUACUAGGGUUUGAACAAUCUAAAAGAAAUAUUAGAGAGAGUUCCGAAGCUUACUAAGGUCGAGGGAUGAGAAAUCUCGUAUGAGUAGAACUCCAAAUAGUGGGGGGACCACUGUGCAAAGAAAGAGAAUGAGAGAGAGAUAGAGAGAGAGAGAGAGAGCAUGGCACGGUGGUGUGGUGGUGUCCUCGUCGAAGUCUCCUUGGGUAUGGGGUAACUGGGUGUGUGUGUGUGAGUUCAGGGAAGAGGGAAUGAGAGAGUUGCAGAAAGUCAAGAGGGAGAGAUAAGGGAGAGUAAGAGCUGAAGGAGAGAAAGAGAGUUACAAAAAAAUCAGAAAAAGAAAGAAAAAGGGAAAGGAACCGGGGGACAAAUCAGGGGGUGGGCCCCUUGGGCUCACCAAUUAAUAACCAAAACAAUUUUUUAAAAUAAAAACCAAAACUAUUUUUAAAAUCGGGGGUGGGGUGUAACAAUCUACCCCCCCUUAAAAGAAUUUCAUCCAUGAAAUUUAAAAUCACUUACUAAACUGAAAUACUCGAAAAUAGGAAGAAGAAUAUAUGUAUAAAGAGUAAUUAAGUCAGAGUGGGGGCAUCAAAGAGAAUAUGUCACACCGUCGCGAGCGGGUUGCAAAAUCCUCUAUAAUGCCUCUAAGCUUUUACUUUCUUCCGCAUCAGUGUAAAAGUACAAAACAUACUUUAUAAAGAUAUAAAGUAAAAUACGAUAACACCAAAAUAAAUAAGUACUAACAUAUAGGUCGAAAAUUCGUGCUGAACUUAAAAUUGAAAACGGAAAUACUUCCCCCAAAACAUUUUUAAUGACAAAACAAAUAACUAAAGUAAAGGAAGUUAAAAUACUCAUACUGAAAACCAAAACUGGAAAAUGAGAGUGGGUCUCUCCUAAGCAUACGAAACAUCACGUACUUUGAGAACAGAUGUGUCUUUGGGUCGAGCCCCAAUAAUAACAAAUCCGUAACAACUACUGAAGACGAGUCUUCUUGCCCACUUGCUUAAUGAACCCAACGAAUAAGUUAUUAAUACCAUAGUCGGCCACCCGCAAUAUCGACCACACAUUUGUUGUCUCGAUAAGCAAGCAGUAAUUUUCUGAGGGUGCACAAUUUCACACAUCAUAAAUUCGAUCCUCUGAAUACCAAUUCACAAUACUCCCCUGUCAACCAGUGUUGCAUAUAGAAAACUCUCGUACCAUGUCGCAAAAAGCCCCAUACUCAAACCGAACAAAAUAGAAUUUGUCAUCAUAAAACACUAUCCAACACUAAGGAUCAUAUUCACCUCCGUUCUUCCAAAUUUCACCAUUAAAGAAUCCAUUUGAAAACGGUAUCUUGGGAUUCAAGAGAAGUGGCUACCAUGUUAGUAGUAUACCCAAAAGCUCAAGCCAAGUAAGUAGAAAAUGAGAAGUCACUUUCCUUAACAAGCAGUAUCUCUAGAGAGCUGUUGUAGUGCUCAAACCACCUCUCCAUUUUUGCUUAGGUGCAGAUUUCUAGUCAAACACGGUCAAUGUUGGUGGAAAGAAUAAGGAUUCACAAGUGAUCAUCCUAAAAACCCAAUGAGAGCACACACCUUUCAAGAGAAAUGUAAAGAUUAUCCGAUUCUCGCCUCGACCGUGCUGUAGUGCCAUCCCAGAGUGCACCAAAAAGAUCUGCUUGAAGUGUUUUGACAACCACGUACUCACAAACAAAAUAGUCCUGAAGUGAAGCAGUGAAAAUUUGCGUUGAGACAAACGCAUAACGUUGGAAGAGAAACGAUGCGAUGCCUAUAAAUUAUAGCAUGAUGGUGAUACAAUCUGCUGACCUUCUACAUUACAACCUUCAUUCAACUCUUACCAAAAGACGGCUCAACCUCACGCCUACAUGGAACUCUUUCUGGUAAGUCUGGUCAGCUUGUGAAAAGAUUAUGCUCCUAACAUUCUCGUCCAAAUCGAUAAGAAUUGGGCGCAUACUUCCGUCAAAUCGAUCGAUCAUGAAUUCCUCACCAAUUGAGCGAGAAACCAUAUCGAGAAGGCUGCAAAAACACUCAGGAAUUUGAGGGUCAAAACAAGUCCAUUAGAAUCUAGAGUACAAGAUAUUGGGAUUUGAACUAGAAACCAUGCCAAGAACAAACUUUUUUUAUUUUUUUAUUUUUUUUAUUUUUUUUAUUUUUACGGCAUGAUCCAGUUUUACAUUGAGAAACAAACAAGCAAAGGAAGGUAAAGAUGUAGAAAUAGAAGUCACUAAUUAUGAUUAUUUGGUUAAUCAUCACAAUAAGGUUGACUGGUUCCUUAGCCAAAAAGGAAAUAGUCUAAGCUCAAAGAAUAGUUAAGAACUGCUAAUAAGAUUUGAUGAUGCCAAAGACAUUUCAUAAUUCACAAUACUUUGUGAGAGCUAAUUCAAAGUUCAAAAAUUAAAGCAGUCUGCGUAUGCAUGUAGUGACAUGAUUGGCUACCUUAAAGUGAUGCUCUUGAGCAAACCAAAGCUCAAUGAGUCCAGAGAAGUUCAGAGUAAAGUUCGAUCUUUGUACUGUGAUGAAUAUGGUGGAGUCUCAAGCCAUUACACUAAAAAUUACAAGGUUGUUGGACAAGAGCACUGGUCAAUUGAGCUACAAGCAAGAGGCUAAGUUCACCUCUAUCGAAAAGUACGAGGACAAGGAGUUAGGGUUUACCGUCGAGUACCAUACCCAGAUGAAGUUCAAGGAGUUUGUUUAUCCAAACAAGUCUGGAUCUUCAUCAUCCAAGUCCAAUUACCACAAUAACAAGAAUCGCAACUCCAUUUUGGGAAAUUGAUGAGAAUAUCGUCUGCUACCAAGAAGUUUCUCAAGAAAAGUAUUUAAUGUAAACGAAGUCAAUGUAAACGAAGUCAACACACGAAGAAUUUGGUGUGAAGCUGACGAUUGAAGGUUAGGUAACUUGACUUCGUCGAUGGAGUAGGCGAGAAGGAUAUCGAUAGAACAAUCAUUGAGAAUUGCACUAAAGAUCCACACGAAUUUCUUCAGUGGUAAUGAGUCUGAGAACAUCGAUUCGAUCCCACCAAUUAUCACUUAUUAAAUGUCAUAACAACUAGCGCUUUCUUGCUUCCUCAAUACGCAUUUCAAAAGUUUCGAGUAAUUUCCAAAUAUGUACGACUCUGCUCCCCAUUCCUAGGGAACGUAUGUCGCAGAGUACAACAUCGCUUCAGAUCUUCCAAAUCCAAACCAUUUUGGUUUUUCCGUUUCCUAACGCUCUUAUGUAGAUCCACUCCGCCUACAAUUCCUAAGGAACACAUGUUACGGAGUAUCGGUCCGAUGUUGAAAGUCGUCCAACAAAUCAAACACGUCACCGAUGAGGCAUAAUCGUGACACAAAUUUCAUGUAUUUCAACCAGAAGGUGACAAUUCAAACAGAGAAAGAUUUGCACAACUGUGCCGAAUGACACCAAAUCCGAAAGUCGUGACAUCCAAAUGAUGUCAAAACCGACACACUAUUAGAGUAAGAGAAGAUCCAAAGUAUGCUCUGAACAAACCACGCUCUGAUACCAAUCUGACACACCCCGAUCCCGAUAUUCCCCGAACACCAGGAUAGGCACGUGCUGGCCGACACCCGAGGGUGACGAAAGCCAUUUAUUGAAUACAAAUGCUGAGAACAAGGAAUGAAUAAGACUUAUAAAUAUAAAAAUAAUGAAUAUGCAUUCCAGAAACGUGUUCAGAGCACACAUCUAAUCUAGAAUACUAAAAGAAUUUAUAUAAAAAUUGAAUGAACAAAGGAGUGGGUCCUACACCGAGAGGACUCGAAGAUGCCGAUGUGGAAGUGCCUAGACGCCGGGAUUGUAUGCCUCGAUUCUAAGUCCUGAAGGGGGCACAAAACAAACAUGAGUGGAUCAAGUUUAUAUAUAUAUACUAAAAUAGUUAUAAAUGUACUAACCCCCAGGUUUUAUGAAAACACAUAUAUAUCAUGAUAAACAUAGGUUUUCCGAAACCUAGCAUGAUGUGCAAUGUCUCAAAUCAUAAAUUGUAUUACUAGUGAAUGUCUAAUAACUCUCCAGGCCCCAUGCCGGCUCCCCGUCUAUGAGCAAACAGUCAGAGGAAAAACACUUUAGGCCCUAUGCCAACACCAUAACCGUCGCCCGGGACAGACCUGAAUCUAUCCCUUCAUCCCGUAGCGGAAUACGAAUCACUAGGGAAGUACAAAACCAUUGAACAUAUAUACAUUUGAAAAGCAACUUCAUAGUAUAAAGUCAUCCAUCAUCUGUACUAUAAAGAGGUGUUCUAAACGUGUUCUAAAUAUUAUAUCGUCAUCCAUCAAAUAUUCUAUAAGAACACAGGUUAUAGAAUAAAUAGUAAUAAUUUAAACUAGCCUCAAUAAGCAUGUUAUCUCACAAAACAUUUCAUAAAACGUGAUCAUCAAAUCAUGUUUUUCAUGUAUGCAUUUCUACUAUUAAAACAUGCAUUUUUAGAAGGGGUCCACUCAUAGAUAUUUAGCCGCCGAAGAGCCACGCAACUAGCGAACACGGAAACGCCACAAUAAUUGCCCCUAAGCACAUAAAGGGUCCAAUUAAUACAACUAUAUUAUAACAAUUGAAUUUGGGAAAACGGACAUCGGAAACGGAUUCAAGACGCCAAAAUUAGCCUAGGAGGGGUUUCGAGUUAAGGGUUUUGGACUUGGGUUAGGGUUAGGGUUAGUGGGUUUAAGGGGUUUAAAGUCACGGGCCUAAGGACUUCCAAAUGGCCUAAGGGCCUUUAGCCAACAGGGGUUUUGGGGUUUUAAGAGAAAAGGGCUUAGGGCCCUAACAGACACGGUCCAAAGGCCUUUAAUUUAAAUAAAAUAAAACUAAACUAAAAAGAAAAGGUUUGGGCCUUGGUUUUUAAACUAAAAGGGUUUAGGGCUUUAACAUAUAAGGCCCAAAGGCCUUUAAAACAAAAAAUAAAUAAACAGAAAAAUAAAAAGGGUUUGGUUGGGCUUGGCAGGAAUGGCCCGAAGGCUUGGGAGGUUUCUUGGGCUAGGUUUCAUGCCAGAGUUUCGGCCAUAAAUUAGACACUUUAAACGCCCAUAAUUUUGUCAAUACUCAACGAAAUCGAGUGAUUCAGCGAAGAGAAUGGUACCUUGCACGACGUCUAACUUGUCGUGGUUUGGCCAGAAAACUCCUCGAAAGCUGUAAAGGUCGCCGAAAACUGGGUAAGAUUCAAAUGGAUAUAACUUCUUCAAUACUUAACGAAAUUGGGUGAAACAAAAAGGAAUGUUGUAGUACUCAGCGAGACGAAGAGAUUGAUACCUUGCACACCGGCCAACUCACCGUGGUUUGGCCGGAAAUUAGCUCGAAAGUCGUUGGACUCGUUGGUAAAACUGGGAAAACACCACCGAGUUGUUUCUUACUACAAACCUUCACCAAAGCACCUAAAAUGAGUCCUUACUAGGGUUUGAACAAUCUAAGAGAAAGAUUAGAGAGGAUUCCGAAGCUUACUAAGGUCGAGGGAUGAGAAAUCUCGUCGGAGUCAAACUCCAAACAGUGGGGGUACCACUGUGCAGAGAAAGAGAAUGAGAGAGAGAGAGAGAGAGAGAGCGUGGCACGGUGAUGUGGUGGUGUCCUCAUCGAAGUCUCCUUGGGUGUGGGGUAACUGGGUGUGUGUGUGAGUUCGGGGAAGAGGGAAGGAAAGAGUUGCAGAAAGUCGAGAGGGAGAGAGAAGGGAGAGUGAGAGUGAGAGCUGAAGGAGAGAAAGAGAGUUAAAAAAAAUCAGAAAAAUAGAAAAAAGAGAAAGGAACCGGGGGACAAAUCAAGGGGUGGGCCCCUUGGGCUCACCAAUUAAUAACCAAAACAAUUUUUUAAAAUAAAAACCAAAACUAUUUUUAAAAUCGGGGGUGGGGGUUUAACACGAACCACCUUUGUGAACUCCAAUCCAAGCAGAGCUUCAACCAACCCUAAUCUCUCUUUCUCUGCCUCUCUUUACCUACGAAUACAACCCUAAUCUCUCCCUCCCCCUCCGCCAAAAACACACCCAGUGAACGAAUUUUUUUUCAAGGUAUAUGAUUAAUGGGUCACAAUUGAAACAAAGGUUCAAUCUAAUUGAAAUCGAUUCCUCACACCACCUCCCUCUUUCUCCCUCCUGAACGCACGAAGAAUUCCUCAGCGCCCCCUUUCUCCCCGACAAAAACAUACCCACUAAAUAAAAAAAUAUAAAAAUUUUGAAUUGCACAAGGUCACAACAACCCGGAUUUACACAUGGGCUCGAUAGAUCACGACCGUCCGGACGCAAAGUUCGCAACGCCCUUCCAGUUGAUCAUCCACCAGGUUCCCAGAGGCAGGGACACUUUGACUUCACUUAAAUUUUUAAACACCCAUAAAUAUAUGAAGAAAAUCAGAUAACAAUAAAAAAAAAAAAAAAAAAUUAUAAGAUGCAGGGGACAAAAGCAAAAUUCAAUUUUAGUCUCUUAUUGGUCAAUUUUCCCAAGGUCUAAACUACAACUUCCGUUUCUUAUGGGUUUCUUUUUUCAUCUCUCUUGUAUUUUUCUAAACAAAAUUCUUCUUUCCUAUGUACAAGUUGCAAUCCAGAGGGCAGAAAUGACAGAAAAAAACAGAGGCACCCUUCUCAGGCUUGCAGAUAACUCCAAUAAAAGAUAGAGCCAGGAGCCAGAAAAUCCCUGAGCAAAAAACUGAGCAGCCGGCGGCCCUCCCUCACAAGGCGUAAAACCCAUUUAACACAACGUACGGAAAUCGUCUCCUUUCUUUGCCUCCAAACCAGAAGCUGCAAACUGACUGACUGACAGAAUUGGAUUGAUUAUAGGCAUUACUUACUAGUAACUACUGGCUACUAAUGACUCCUCUCUUCAUGGCAGUGGCUCUCUUUGGCACGGAAGUCCUCCAAGCGACAGUAUACUUCCCUGAGCAACCGAUCCAAUUCCGAAUGUUUCAUUAGAGACUCUUUCUGAUCCCCUUGUUGACGAUAAUGAUGAAAAGCCCUGCAACAUGCACAAGGAAUUCAAGUUUAUACAAAGCCAUUUACAUGCAAAGAUUGGAUGACAUGAGGAUUACUACCAGAUUGUCUAAAACUCAAAACAGUAAUCAGUUCAACCAAGUGAUACAUGAAAUUUACCUAAUAAACAUCUUCAACUCUAUGACCUCUAAACGAGAAUAAAUGUCAUUUAGUAUUCAUAAUUUAGUUUAGCUUUGUUAAAUGAACUUAUCAUACAUAUAGGUGAACGUGGGCCUUCCGUAUAUCCUCCAAACUAAAGGUCGUAUUCUUUUGUAUCAUUGCCAAUUUCUGCAAAAUACCUACAAUAGGCUUUAAGUAAUAAAUUCUAAUCAGACACCCUGGUCACAUCCAUACUACCUCAUAGAUUGCUUCAAUAUGGUAUGUUGUAUUCGAGGAUAGUAAAACCCGGACAGUAUUGAUCUCAGCCACUAGUUCAAAUAAUUCAUCCUAUUAGGCUACUAGCCACUGGCCUAGCUUCAUAGCUCUCAACGAAACCGUCUACCUUCUGCGUCACCGUAAAUCCAACUAUCAGAAUGAGAAAAUGCAUUGGGAAUCAAGUAUCAAUAACAUCCAUAUCCGUGACAUGGGAUUUUCUAUGGUGCUCCAGACUUGUUACCAUUAGAUCUUUGAUAAAUACCACAAAAAUCAAGAUCUAACGGUUAAGAAGCCUGAAGUAUCUGAAACUUGGGAGAACCAUAAAAAUUUUGCAGUAACCUACAUACUUAACGGAAGAGGGAUCCAAAAAACCCCAGUGUGGGACAUGGAUAUAGUAGCAAAACCCAAACACCUUAUAGGGAAUACAGAGGGGAAUAAAAGGGAUUGGGCUAAGAACCAGAAAAGGGAUAUAAAACUAAGGAAAUUUCGAUGACAUUCGAUUCAUAAGACAUGCACUUGGGAGUACAUUACACUAGAAGGAUGGGAAAACAUAAAUAUGAAAGAAUAAUGAAUAUACACCAAAAAAUAGCCCUCCUACUUAAAAUUAUUGGAGAAAACAAUUUAAUUUAGAAGAGACAAAAUAGUAAAUUAAUAUUAUUUUAAAUAAAAAAUUCAAAACAAACAACCCCACACGUACAUGAGUAGUUGUCAGAAUUAACCGGCCAUCUGGGUUAUUGAAAUACAUGAUGUAGUAGAUAUUCAGCAAAUAAACGACACCUUGUGGCGUUAGAGUCCUCAGCCAGCCAGUUGAAGGUUGAGUCUCGGAGUGAUGGUAUAGGCUUAGGGUCGGUACAAAAUGAAAUUCCAAGGCAAAAAAAAUUUCAAUAAUUGGCAGAAAUGAUAGGGAGGAAAGGCAGCACCCAGUGAACUAUUACAUCUAAACCAAGCCAUAAGGUAAACCCUAAACUACCUUCACUAAACUCCGGUCUAAUACCAAGCUAGGAUGGUGAAAACCCCCGUUUUCUGUAUCCUUCUCCAUCUUGGACGAAUUUAUACAAGUAAUGCAUAUACAAAUUAUGAAAGAAUCAACAUAACUCUUCUCAUCACAUUAUAGCCUAAUUACAAAUUUAGGAAACCAAUAUUCUACGGCACAAGGGUUCAAGAAAUUAAUCAAAAUCCUAUCAACUGUAAUAGAACACCAUGGUCAAAUUUCAACUAGAAAAUUUAAUUUUUAGGUAUUUAUUUAUUUGGUUUUAUUUUUGUAAAGAAGCUAAGAAAAAGCAGCCUCAUAAAGAAACAGGAAAAAUAAUUACCAAUAUUUUUCCAGGCCAUAGAGAUUGCCUUUAUGGUAAAAGUCAAGAGUGAGCUGUUCAAAGUCCUUGUACAAGUCCUCUCUAAAAUCUUUCUCCAAACCAUAACUGAAACAAGAAACAAGAAUACGCACACGCGCACCCGCCCACACACACACAUUAGUAUUAUAUAACUGAAAACACAAGUAAAGCUGAAAAUUCAAGAGGGGAUUGCAAAUAUGACUAAAAUGGGAAACGACCACAAUUUUCUCACUAACCUAUAGAACCUGAAGAGGCACUCUACUCCAUAAUUAUAACCAGCAGUAGCAUCUUCAAGUGCAUAAUUUCGGAACUCAUCAUACAUUGAAGAGUUGAACAUGUUUCUAAGAAAAUAACACCAAAAUCUAUACAGAGUAUUCAUUUCCUGCAUGGGAAGAAACAAGGCACACAUUUCACUGUAAAUAACUGUGAAUCAUGAAACUGGAAUUUUUUAUAUGGACAUUGAAAAAAGACGAUGCAUAAAAACCGGAUAAUUUUAUGUUAGACAAAAUGGCAUAACGAAGAGACGUGAAAGUCCCAUUUGUAUACUUCGGGCAUGGACCAACAAAUCUAGUGCAUCCAAAUGUGAUGCAAAAAGUCAUCAGUUUCUGAUACUACAAAUAUAAAGCAUUAUAGAUAAAAUACGAACCCCACAAAUCCAGACCUUUAUCCACCAUAUUUAAUACUGUAUAUUUAUUUUAACUGCCUAAUAUAUAAUUGCAAUAGAAACAGUUGUCACAUACUCAUACAAGCAUAAAUAUGCAACAAUUAAGUGGAUGUGGGUUCCAAAUUUCGAUGAGUAUAUUCAAUAAAUCAAUUUAGAAAAUCAUUCAAGAACAGAGGAUAAAGAUAUAAAACUUGUGGGAUUAAGUUCAUAAGAAAAGGAAAUCAAAAUCAGGCAAUUUGAUCACAAAUUAAAGCUUUCAACCCAUGGAAAAAAAUGCAAUUAAUAUGACACUAGGAGUUCAGAUAAAAGACCACCUCACUGCAACCAAUUCCCAACUUCUUCCUGUCAUUUAGGCACCGGUUAUGAUACUUGAGGUACCUAACAGGAAGGGCAGCCAUGUAAGUAAACAAAAUUACUCUCUCUCUCUCUCUCUCUCUCUCUCUCUCUCUCUCUAUAUAUAUAUAUAUAUAUAUAUAUGUACACACACACACACACAUCAAUAUAUCUCUAUCUCUCGCUCUCUACCUAUCACACAUGCACAAGAGCAUCAAAAUUACAUCCCUUACUUCUGCUGUUUAAAACCAUUUUCUUCCAGAAGCUGAUGACUUGGGUGCUGAAACGGUGGAAAUGACUUUGGCACAGAACCCACCGGUGGACUACUGCCUGAGAGAAACCCAUGAGGGGAAACUCUCACUUUUGAAGAUCUUGGUCUGUAAAAUAAAAAAUUUAUAUUUGGAUUAGCUUCUUGGAAUGAUAAGAGCUAAUAUGCUUAGACAUCACAUUAGCUUAGCCCUUGAUUCUAAGUUUUAUUAAUUACAAUUACUCAUCCCAAAAGCAAGAACAACAAACUUCUAAAUCACUAAAGAAUUGCUCUGCUGAAGAAACAAAUCCAAAACCAAAUUCCAUCCAUUUCAACUAACCCAUGAGUUUCAGGAGGCGUGGAACUAAAGAAAAAGCCAACAGAGUGACUUGGUGGACUUUCUGAUAUGAUUCCUAGAUUGUUCCAACCAGUUCCAUAAUUUUUGAAGUUGCUUGAGAAGAAUCGCUGUCUAUGGGACGGCUGCUGAUUUUGGGAGAGUCUAUUUUGCUUCUUCCGUGCAUUAACACUUCCAGACUCUUCAAUGCCAUUACUACUGCCAGAUAUUUCGCUGGGCUUUAAUUUUGAAAAGACUUUGGAAACGCUUGAAAAUCUUGAGUUUGCAUCUCUAUUUUCAUGGCUGGUGCUGUACUUUUUAUGGUUUGGUCGCUUGGUUUUCAGUUCCUGCUAAUUGAAUAUAUGUUAGGAGCCAGGUUAGUGCAGCAUAGUAAUUAACAAACUCCAUAGGAAUAUUCCCAACCUGCUCAUAGAAGUAAAGCCCAUCGUUUAUAGCAGACGCUAGCUCAUUGGAAAUGGUUUUUGAUUCUUUAUCAUCAUGUUUUGAUCCUUUACCUACUCUACUAUUCUGCACAGAAAACAAAGAAAUGACUACUUAUCAAAAUGCUACAGACAUGAAAUUAAAGUCUCAUUUAACUGCAAAAACUAAUCAAAGAAAAGUAUAAAAAUAUCAAAGGACCUUUCCUUGCUAAAAACAUAGUUUCAAGACACUUUUUGUUACUUAGUGGCAUACCUGGGUGACAAUUACAAGUCUCUGUACGUCCUGAUCAUUGACUAGAAUCUCAUCAUCUUCAUCAUCAAUCCUUGGGCCAACACUGUCAUAUGAAAACAUACAACAAGUAGUAAGCUCAUAUGCAUAUUCAACCGCAUGACAUAGUAUUGUAACGCUACUGAAGCAAGAAUGCCUAGCCAGGAUAAGCCUGAAUUCUUAGCCUCCAAUUUAAAGAGAAAGCUCAAGUUCAACGACCAGUUUUAGUCCACCAACAAAGAAAGAAAGAAAUAAGCGAGGGAAAUAUAUGAGCACUCGCACAGAGCCAUGUGAAUGCAGAUCACAAGGCUUCCAACACAAUUUUUCAAAAUACAAUAAAAACACUACUAAAAAAAUGCCACCUACUGUGAAAAUGAAUCUCACCCAACGUAUUAAAAGUGUGAGGUGUGGGCGAGGCGUCCAAGGGAUAGCCUCGCCUAGGCGUGAGGCGAAGCCUCACAGGACCUAAAUUUUGUAAUAUAUACAAUGAGCAUACACAUAUAUUAUAUUAAAAAAAAAGAUUAUUAAUUAAUAAUCACCUUGAGCACACACAUAUAUUAUAAAUACACACACACACACACACACACACACAUAUAAUAUAUAUAUAUAUAUAAAAUAGGAGAUGAAAAGCACAAUGAGCACACAUAUAACAAUGCACGCAGACAGAACACACAUCCAUUAUAUUAAAAAAAUAAAAAUCAGAAGAAAAAAAAGGCAGAGAGACGAUAGUGCAAGGAAAAGGUAUGAGGCAGUUAAAACCUACCCAAAAUUUGGGUUUGGGAGUAAAAAUAAAAAUAAAAAUAAAAAUAUAUUUAAAAAAAAAAGCCCUUGAGGCGCGCCUAGGUGGCUCCGGCGACGCCUUCCGCCCACUCCCUCAAAACAAAGGCGACAACCCUCACACCCAGCCUCAGAGGACACCUAGGCGCACCUUGGGGCGAACCUUUUAAAACAUUGAUCUCACCACAAGCACACCCCAUUUCCCAAAACUGGGAAGAAAAAAAUAACAUGGUGAUUGGUGCCCCUUUCUCAAUUUGGCUUUACAAUAUGAGUUUAGACCUACUUGGAAGUAUGGAACAAUUAAGAUGAUAUUUGCAUUCAAUCAGGUAGAUUUCCUAUUACCUCAAAUCAUAUUUAACCAAUGUUGGGUUAUUUCUUCAUCACUAAGUACCCCACGAAAUCUAUUGGGGGCCCAAAUCCAUAGUGCUUAUAGUUCUCAUGGGUACGGGUGACUUUUUGCACUAUAGCCCAAAGGGUGGAGUAAGGGUUUGAACAGAGAUAGAGAUGCUGUUUUUGGUUUGUUGAAACUGUAAAGAGUCAAGAGAUAAAGGAAACUAGAAAGACAUUGUAAAUGCAUCAAUCAAAUGCACAAAAAUAAAAAAAAAAAUAAAUAAAUAAAAAAAAAAAGUUUAAUACCUUCUAAUAGGAGAAUGAUCAUCCUUUAUUAUUUUCUGCUCAAGCUCUAGCUCUUCAUCAAGCAUAAAUGUGUUUGCAAAAUCGUUAGACAUUGCAAGAUUCUUCAUAUCCAUAUCUGAAGGCAUGCCUUCAGUCCCAUCAUCAUCAUAUCUUACAGUUUCAAUUCCCUCUGAGUGGUAUGGGCGGUCUAAGUAAUUAUCCAUUUCGGGAUCUGAGGACUUGCAAUUUGAUUUGGAAGUCAACUUUGCACUUAAAGCACUAUUAUAAUCAGCAGAUGCUAGUGAUCCGCUAUCAACUUGAACAUCAUCAAUGCCAGGUAUGGUGGUUGAUGGCAUGCACGACAUCAAUUUUUUUCCAUCUGAUAAAACUUCUACCUUUUCUUCGAAAGCUUUCAUUCUAUCAUUGCUCGUGCUAUUCUCAGGAGCAUUGAUAUAUCUAUCUUCAACUUGAACCAUGUGAGUUUGCAGCUUGGAUGUUAACAUUGAGUCUACAGAAUCUGCAAUCCACUUCGACCACUCAUCACGUCUUCGUAUCUUGUUAGCCUACAAAGACGAAACAACUCAAGUGCAUGUCAAGAAAAAAAAAAAAAAAAAAAAAAAAAAAGAUGCAAUGCAUUUCAAAAACUUUCAUAACUUGUCAACAUAUUUCCCAAUUUCUCUGAAUAAUUUACAAUGCUGUGCCAGAUAACACAAGUGGCCAAUCAAAGUCAAAUGCAGCAUCUCAAACAAUAGAAAGGCACAAACUAGGAAGAAAUAAAAGCAGACUUACAAAUUUACAAUAAGAAAUUAUUAGUACAAAGGUAAUAACAAAUAACAUACCAAUUCAAACUCCACAUCAAUCCUUUUUUUUCCAGUUACAAAACCGUAAUAAUUCUUUGAUAUAUAGGGAGAGUAUUCUCUAACCUACUGUGGGGUUACUAAACAUAAUAUCUCCAUCAAAUGAAAUUGUUAAUGUAUCAAGACAUGAAUGAUGGCGAUGCUUUCAAAUGACCAUCUGUUCAGAAUCCAGAUUUUAAGAUCCAAUCUUAAUACUGAUUUGCAUCUAAAUACAUCAUAUCAAUUAUUUUCUUAUGAAUAUAAUGACAUUCCUCUCCUACACAUCUUCACAGGCAUAAAUAUAGACAGGAAAAAGAGAACCAAGAAGUAUAAUAAGCACACAAAUUAAAACACAAAAUAAAAAUCUGAAAUCAAGCAAAGUGAAACAUAAGCAAACCUAAAAGGUUGUUGAAUUUGAAAACCAGUAAAGGAAGAUUUUUCAGCAAAGACAUUAUAUCUAGCCUGUUAACAUAGGAGAAGAGAACUUAAACAAUUUAUGCAGGUCAGAGAAAUCAGACUAACUAUGAAUAUACUUAAGUUUUAUUAACUAUGCCACUGAAGGUUGGAAGAGGGACGAAGAGAAGGGAAGAAAAAGUUGGAUACUACAAGAAUAUAAAUUAGAGAAAAAAGAAAGGAGAGAAAGAGAGAUUCCAUGCUAGCAAACAAUAGACCGCAAAAUUUGGUUGUCAUUCCAUAAAAAUAUUAGGACAUGCUAUAUUAAAAUACCAAAGAGAAGAAAGAAGAUUAACCUGCACUUCUACAGUAGUUGAACCCAGCAGCGAGUCAAUGAUGAAUGCUAUGUCUGUACACAUUUUCUUAACCUAUAACACACAAUAUCAAAAUAUAGCUUAUUCACGUUAUUGUCAGCUACAAAACAGGAAGACAGAUUAACUAAUCUAAUAGAUCACACAGCUGACCAAAAGCAAAACUGGAUCAGCAUGUAUUACCUUAGCUUCUGCAAUAUCUACUAUGAUACCAAAACAUACCCUUUUAAAUUCAGCAAUGGUGGUUAUUGGGACCCAUCCUUGGUCAUCCAUGAAUGAAAUUAAGUAACGGUCUUUCUUUAGAUUUUCAUCACUGCCAAAGAAAGAUUAAGAGUUAAUUAAUAAUAAAAGAAAUAUUUGUAUCAUCUAUACCACUAUUUAAGAGAUUACUCCCUGUCAUUGUGUGUGAAAAUCGGUUAUAGCCCUAUUGCAAAGAUAACUUUAUUAAGUCAUCUAAAAUUUAGUGAUAAUUUUACCCUUACAUACAGCGGCUAACAAACUAAGCAAAACAAAAAAGAAGAAGGUGCAGCUUGAUUAUAUUUCAAUUUAUCAACAUAUAUCCUAAAACCCGGAUUAAAUACCAUUAGUUGAGGUAUCUUAUAUGCUUCAGUGCUUCACCAAUUUAGAAGACCUGUGAAAUAUAAACUAUCAAAUUCUUUCCUUAGGAAUUUUCACUACUCUGUGUAGAGAGGGUUGAGAAUGUGUGAUUUCAUUAUUGACAAAACUUCCUUCCAUGCGUUAAAACUUAACAAUCAUGCCAUGCGGUACAAUAAAGUUCAAAAUGCUCAAUAAUGGGUUCUCUAAUUAAAGCAUUGGGAUAACAUACAUUGAUAUCGAAGGCACGUUGGAAAGAUAUGAUCAUCUUUAAGGUUAUCUUUUCGUAUCAGCCGUUCUAUUCUUCCAGACUAUUACAUUUUGGUUUAUAAGUUUCCUUUUGUAGCUUUGAAUAAUAAAAAAAAUUGGAAAGAUAAGAAAUCUAUCAAGAUUGUAAAAAUUCUUCUAAGAAAACUUCUUUUGAUAUUACAUCUUUACGAUUGAACGAAUACAGAAUCUCAGUCAACAACAAAUGAAUAGCUUUUUUAGCUUCUAUUUCUCCUUUUGAGAACAACGAUAUAUUUUACAAUAAAGGGAGGGGGGAUUUCGGCUAAGCCACACAAUGGGCAACCUAAUUUGGUAUCGAAUUCUCCAUCUACGAGAUUCGAACCUAAGACCUCUCACUUACAAGUGAAGAGGAAUACCACCAUAGUUUAUAUAAUUAUGCUAAAAAGGAAAGCUUUCUCAACAGUACAAUGCAAACACAUAUAUGCACUAGCUUGCAAGCAGUGCACAAACACCGAGAUUGGCAAGAUAAAAGACUUUCUUAAACAAAUUACCUGAAAUAAUACUCUAUUUGCUUUAUAAUAUUGUCCCUCAACGACAAUGUAUGUGUUUUUGAGGGCGGUAAUGGAGCCCCUGGAUUUAAAGGAUGUGGCACAAAGCUAGGAGGAUGAGGUCCCCUAAUUGCGGAAAGCGGUGGAACUGGAAGAUAGCAUAUGGGUGCAGGUCCUGUGUAAUUGAGAUAAAUCAUUGUGGAAAGAAUCUAAUCCUGAACAACGCAUAUAUACAAUAAAAAAUAUUGUUCAUAAAUGCAAAAUAAAGAAGCAGCAACCGCUCGAUUGUUAGGAGAUUCAUUCAAGAUACUGAUUUCUCCUUUUUUAGAAAAGCAAAAUUCAAGUAUAUUGCUGACACUGGAAAUAGUCAAAAUACCAAUGGAGAAAUAGAAAAUUGCAUAGAAAUAAAAAAACUAUAACUGAAACCAAAAUAAGACAGCUCAGCACCGGUAUGAUAGAACUACCAGGAAUGCUUGGGCCAACCAUGAACCUUGGGGCUGGACCAAAAAGCUGAGGUCUUAAGAAAGGCCUAGGUCCAACACCCUGUUGCACAGGAAUGUUCUCUCUGGGGUUGAAUGCUCGCUGUUGAUGCCAAGUAUGAUUCCAAGGGCCACCGGGUUCUUGCAUAUUGGGUCUUCUAGUAGAAAAAUUGACACCAUAAGCAUUCGGAUUAUUUCGUGGCUGAGGUUGAACUGGUUGCACAAAAUUUUGCACUGGGGUCUCGAAUCCAGAUUUUACCAUAUGAUUCCCAACACUUGGAAUGGGUCCAGCGUAUGGCUGGUAAGCAUACCCAGAAGCCGGAAUGUAGGGUUGUACCAUGGUAUGAAAAACAGUAGGAAGCGAUUGUUGAUGGUAGGGUACGGGUACUGGAAAAAGAGGUGCAGCAUUUGUGUUGCGCCUAGGACCUUUUUCGUGAUGUGAUGAUGAAUGCUUGUGCGAAGCGUUAGAGUUUCCAGAUUCAUUCAACUUCUGCAUGACUAAUCCCUGGAUGACAAAGCAGAACAUAUAAAGUCAAAUACAGUUAGCAACUAGAUGAACAGAAGUAGCAUGUACGAAAUUUCUCUUUCUUUUAGCAUGUACAAAAUUUCUCUUUCUUUUUUCAAAGAAUAAGGUAUCAAUUUUGAUGAACAGGUCACAGGCCCUAGCAUAAAAAAUUCCAAAAACCCCCCUCCAAAUACUAUUAAUUAAUUUUUAUGUCUCUCUAGACAUGUCAACAACAGGACCAAAAUAACAAAAGGUUCAAUUCUUCUAUUACAGUUCCUUGACAAAUUGUAAAAUCACUUUACGAGAGAAGAACUAUCUAAUGCCAAAACAAAAUAGGAAACAAUAACCCUGAAGCAUGACAUUACUAUCUAAUGCAAAAACAAAAUAGGAAACAAUAACCCUGAAGCAAGACAUGCUUCACUGCUGUAUAAUUCCAGUGUCAAAAGAGAUCAAGGCAUUCCUAACAUAGCACAAGAAUAUAUUCUAAUAAAUUAACCAGGGGUGGCUGGAGAGAGAGAGAGAAAGAGAGAGAGAGAGAGAUUAAAGCAUGAUGUGCCAGUUUGAAGACAAAGCAAAAUUCUUAUUCAGCAGUCUAUUUAGAAGAACUUUUUUCGUGGGAAUUCCACAAUGUGACCAUUUCAGAUACAUGGUUUAAACAUAUGUAUGUUUGUAAUACAUAUACAUGUAUAAUUAUUAAUCAAUAUUGCAUACAUUACAUACAUACAAAUAUUUAAAUGAAAUUGGUGACGCUCCAACAUUUUUCUUUUCCUUAAACAAUAAUCACCUUGAAGGCAACAUUUCCACAAUAAUGGUUAUAUUGAUUACUGCAAAUUUUAUCAACAGGAUAAAGGAUUAGAUAAAACAUAUAUCUACUGCAAAAGUCGAAAUCAAGAACAGAAGCAUUUGGGAUUCAUUUGUAAAACGUUGGUUUAGAACAGCAAUCUAUUAAUUCCCUAGGGACCCAAUUUCUUCAUUUUUCUUUUCGACUUCAUUCAGUUCAGGUGGUUAGAUAAACAUACAUGUAGGAAAUUUUAUUUCUUAUUAAACAAGAUUAUACUCUCUAGUUCCUUUAUUCAAAAUUAUACUAUUCUUUCGAUGGGUGCUGGGGCGAAAGCAGCAAUGGGAGUACAGCUGCAUCAGUUAUGGCUGCAAGCUCCACAGGAAUAAUUGGAGGUCUCCUCCAUACUUUGAGGAUUUCCAAAACAGUUUGAUAGUUUCAUACGUUAAUUAUUCAAAUUUCUUCUCGGAAAGUAAAGAUUGAUGAGUUCGCAAUGCAUGUUCCGUACAUUAUAAUUUUACACAUUUCAAACAAGUACCAAACAGCUUCAUUGGAAUUACCUGCGCAGGCGCGGGCAGGGGAGACGGCUGCGCAGCUGGCGGCUUUGCAGCAGCAUCCAGACUCUUGGGCCUGUGGGCAUCGGCCAGAGCAGGCCAGGAUUCGGCGGCCAUUACGGGAGCAUCAAGGGAGACCGGAGUCCUCCAUGGGGACUUGGGCCCGCCGCCAUUGACGUUGAGGUCCCUCUGGUCAUCCCCAACUUCAUUCUCAGCCAUCACCAUCACUCCCUCCGAUCUCACCAAAACAAAACUCCUCUCCUUUCCCUUCCUUUCCUUUCAAUAGAUUACUGAUGGAGGGGGGACAAGAGAGAGGAGAGUGUCACUGUGUCAGUGGCAAAGGUGUAAAAUUGAGGCCAAAAGAGUAGCUGCAGGGUUUUGUACUGUUUCAUUCCGACAUUCGUUUGGUGGGAGUUAGGGUUUUAGGGGGGAUGACAGUUGUGGUUGCGAACGCCGACGAAAGCAAUUGCGGGCAAGUCUUGAAAACGCUGCGUGUGUACUACAGUGUAGGUUUCCGCCCCAUUUAUAUGAGGAUUUAAUGAUGCCGAGUCAAGGGGUGUCUGUCAAUUGGCAUAUGACGUUUUCGGCUGGUUCGGUUUUUUUUUUUAAAUAAAAAAUCAAAUUAAAAUUACUGUUCUAUUCGAUUUAGUUUGGUUGGAUUAUUAUUCUGUUUUUUCGGUUUGGUUUUUUUAUUUUUACUAGCAAAGGCCACACUCUGUGUGCUGAAAAAUAUAUUUUUUUUGUUUUAAAUGUUUGCUUUCUAGUUUUUUUAUGAGAGGAGUUAUUUGUUUUUAACAGGUUUGCAAGCAUCCUAACAAAAUAGGGUUUGUAAGUUAGGAAAGAGAGAGAAUGAGAUUAGAGGGUAUUGAUAAAGUGACACAAUUGUGAGGUUUUUCAAGAAAAAGUAAAAACUUGUUUGUACAAAAUUACUUCAAUGCCCACUUUGUUUUUUUUUCUAAUAUCUUCUUUUAGUUUUGUAUUAAAGGGUAUACUAGUAAUUUUAUUAGUUUUUUUGUUGACAAAUAGUGUUUUAUUAAUAUGUAGUUUAGAUUAAAGAGUAUAGUAGUAAUUUUAUUAGUUUUUGAUUGACAAACCGUGUUUUAUUAGUAUGUAGUUUAAAUAAAACAUGAAAGUCAUAAGGGACUCAGCUCGCGAGGGGUGUUGGGCCUUAGCAUGCAAGGCAAAAACCUUUGAGAACAUUAACGAGCCCGCGAGGAUCCCAACUUCAUCCCUCCUCCUCCUACUAAUUCCAGCUUGGUGGCAGGUGUAUAUGAAAGUGCACCCAAAAAAGCAUCCAUUGGUGUACUUGCAACAUCAACGAUUAAAUAUAGAAAAAAAAUUGAAACUUAGAAAACCCAGAAAUGCACACAUUGGUGUUCUUGCAACACCCAGAAAAAGCACCCAAGUAGAAUCAAUAGUAUUAAAUAUUUUUUAGAAAGAAAAAAAUGAAACUUAGAAAACCACUAUAAAUUUGACUGCAGCGCCUUCAUGAUGCGAAAUAUAUAAGCACACAAAUUAAACCAUAUUUUUAUCAAUUGUAGUAAAGUAUGUAAAUAGGGAUCGUUCUAGACCGGGGAUUAGGAGGGAUUGCUAAAACACUUGAAAUUGACUCAAAAACGUAAAACAAAGUUUAAAACACUAAACUAGACUCAAAGAAUGCAAAACUAAACUCUAAAACACUAAAACAAACCAAAAGACUCAAAACAGCACAAAAACACUCAGAACUGCCUUAAAACACCUUAUGGGCAGUUUUGAACUCUAACACAAACUUGGACGAAUUUGGGUUAUAACUUGAAUCAAAACACUUAAAAACACAAACUAAAUUGAUUUCUAACUAAUCUAACACUUUAAAAUAAUGGGGGAUUUGGUUUUGACGAAUUUGAAAACAAUGAAAACAGAUUGUAACUAAAACAGAUUUUUAAAACGAAUUUGGAUGAAACUAUGGAUGGAAGGCUAGCUAGAGGGUUCUUCUCCACACACGACACACUUGCACAUAAACCAAUUUUCAGUUGUUCUUUCAAUAAAUCAUGAAACUCAACACCCUAGGUUAAUUAGGUCCGCUUAAAUUAACCUUCAAGUUCUCCUUAAGUUAUUGAAUUGGAUGGGAAAACGCAUACAACAAUUCAAAGCAUUCUUCAAAAGUUCUUUACAUGAAAAGCACAAUAAAGAUACAAUAAAAAAUCAUUAAGCAUCAUGAAAACUAUAAGUAUUGACGAGACAUUCGUUACUAUGAUGAGCAUGAAACUAGUGCCAAGAAUUCAUUUAACGCGAUCGUUUAUAAGCGACCUCCGCUACUUGUGAAUAUAAGUUUGUAACUAUUAGGUGAAACUCCCUUAUACUCUAGCAUCAUAUUCAUGCAUGAAAACUAAGCGUGCACUCUUAAUAAACAUACACAAAUAAGUUAUCAAUCAAACAUUUAAACAAAUUGAAUCCACAACUUAUGAAAUCACAACUGAAGGUAAUCAAUUCAUAUUGCAAGUAUGUACAUGGUUUCGAAUCCCCCCUAACUAAGAGGGGUUUAGUUCCUCAUACUCAUAAAACAAAGAUUAGUGAAUUGAAACAUUGAAAGCAAAAGAAAAAUUACACCUAAAACGUUCCAGCAAUCCUAAAUCGAAUGGCAAGCACGUCCAAGGGCUCUCCUAUUUCCUCUUUGUUGUGGCACAAGGGUUGGUGGUGAGUUUUGGGGGUUAUGGAUGGUGUAGAAGUAUAGAAUUGUGUUUAGGAUGGAUGUAUGGUGCGGCAAGAAGUGUUUGGGUCAGAAACUAUGGAAAUUGAUGAAGGAUGGGCACGGCAAGGAAGGUUGAAUGGUUUCUGGCGUGAAUGGGGGUGAAUGGCUCGUUUGUGGCUGCAAAAAGGAAGUUUAUUUAAAGGAUUUCAGGAAUUAAAACCCUAGGUUAUUUAGGUAAAUAGAAAUUAAGUCAAAAGCUUCUAGAAAUAGGAAAUCAAAUCAGAAACUUAAAGGAAAUUGACUAAUAGGUGCGGCAAGGGCAUAAAACACAAAAGGAAUGUGUUUUAAUGCAAGGAAAUAGGAAAGAACCCUCUCCCUUGCACGGCAAGGAAGAGGAAAGGUCAAGGGAGGUGCGGCAUAUGUUUUAGGGAAGGUAAAGUGUCCUAAAAUUGAAGGGAAAAGGGUUCUUUUGCACGGCAAAGGAUGGUGAGAAAGGGAAAGGUGCGGCAAAGGUCCAUAAGGGUUCUAGGGCCUUUGUUUUGUGUCCUAUAAUGCAUAUGAAGUCUUCAAAGUGGCUGGAACAUAAGGACUUUUAGAAUUAGGAAAGGUCAAACCAAAAUAGGAAACCUUAGCUUAACUUUCCUACUUCAAGUAGGAAUCCUUGUUGGAGUAGGAAUCCUUGUUCUUCUAGGAAUCCUCAUGUGAGUAGGAAUCCAUCUUCAAUUAGGAAUCCUUCGUUGAUUAGGAAUCCUUACUUCAUCAAAUCUUCAAUUAUGUCCAUUCCUUUUGCUCCAAGCAUGUGAUAAUCAUUCCAAGCCCAAUUUUGCUCCAAAAGGCACCAAAUUGCAUACUUUGCCCUUAGAAUUUGAAAACACACAAAAGUGACUUUAAACACUAAAAUAACUAAGGAAACACAACAUAAAUGCACAAGAACAAGCCAACUUAGUCGCAUAAAAAUGCUCCUAUCAAAUUCCUUCACACUUAGCGUUUGCUAGUCCUCGAGCAAAACAAAACGAACUCAAGAAAACAAAACGAAACAUAACAAACAAAACACAACCUAAACCUUCGAACGUUUGCCUCAGGGAUUUCCAAUGCACAUGACAUGUUAAAAAUCAUCAUCCCCACAUAUUUUAGUCAUCUUCACACUUAAGCACAUACUUAAUCAUAGUCACCACUUCCUAGUGCACAAUUAACCAAUUAAAACAAUGUUUUGAAUGUAGUAACAUGCCUUAGAGAAUGCCCUCAAUUCCUUACAAGGUAUGCACUCAAUUUUCACUUAGAUUUUCUAACUACACACCCUAUACUAGUUAUAUGUGAGAAGAUUGAUGUAAACAUGAAAACGAACGCUCACAUAUAUGUAUAACAAAGGAAGCAAUUUCUAGAGUUAAUAAGCAUGUUUAAAUAUGAUCUCAUGAAUGGAAUGCUAUUACUUAGAUGCGAGAACCAGUGACACUAUAUGCUCAUACCAAAUUCAAACUCCACAAAUUGAAAUACACAACACUCAAGAUUGAAGUCAAGGGUUGUAACGGGGCUAAGGGUGUUGGCUAACAAAGAAAGGUAAGGGAUAAACAAAGGUUCUUUAAGCAAUAGCAAGCAAAGCAAUGAAAUCAAAACUUAGAAUUCACUUUAGAAUGCAGAAAUCACUUUUAGACAUAAAGGGAAGAUUUAAACAACUCUUAGGGUCAAAUUCAACUUGUUGGACCCUUCCUUCAACAAACAAUACUUUAGAACUCUUUUUCACAUCUUUUCAACUUUUUUUUUUCAUACUUUUCACACUUUUCUUUUUUUCUUUCUUUCUUUUCACGAAUUUUUCUUUUCAUUUCUUUCUACCCAUACCUAUGGCACACUAACUCACAUGAGAAACACUUCCCCCACACUUGUUUUCUGCCAUACAUUAAUCAAAAGGAAAUCAAUUUGAAUCAUGCUUUACUAUGCUUCAAGAACAAGGGUAUGGAUGGUCAUAAUCUAGGCUAGGUGAGGAUAACGUGGGUUAACAAAGAAUGUAGGCUAACAAGGCUCAAUGGGGUUAACUUAAACAUAUAAUGAAGUAGGAUACACGGCAAUUUGGCUGUGGUGGUGGUCACUACACAACUUCAUCUUGAAUAUGUGUUAUGCAAAUCAAUACCAUGCUUUGAAUGAAAUGAGCAUGAGUUUUAGCAUUUGGAACUAAAUAAUGAAACGCCUUCUAAGUAGUAACCAAGCAAAGAAUAAUGAGAUCAUGCAACGACUUUAGAAAACAAUAAUGCACAGAUUAUCAACUUUCCAAAUAAAUGUUUAGGCUCAAAUCUCACAAGGUUGUAGCGUUAAUUUGAGUUCCUUCCUUCAAGAAUGUUACAAAAACUGAUUUUUCCUUUAUGAUUACAUGUUAAUUCAUAAGUUAUAACCACAACCAAGCAUAAACAAAGAGUAAAUCAAACUUUCAUCCAUGUUAACCACUCUCUUUAAUAGCCAUGUAAUUACAAACCAAAUCCUCAUCAUUGUGUUGGAAGGUACCCUAAGACGCAAACAAACACACAAAAACAACUCUUUUUGGGUUUUUUCUAAACAAAUUUUCAAAUUUUUAUGAGAUUUUCGGAUUUUUAAGUCAAAACACACUAAAACACUCCAAAACAGCUUAAAAACACUUAAAAACAGCAAGGAACAAGUCCAUAAGUAAUGGGUGAUAAAAUCCCACGAAUUUGCAUAAAAAACACUUAGUUGCCCCCCAUACUUAAAUCAAACAUUGUCCUCAAUGUUUCAAGCAUAAAGUUACACAAAACACAAAGAAACCAACAAACAACAACUUAAAUAACUAAACAGGGCAGAUUAGAAACAACAACAAAGAGAAGGGUUUUAGGAAUGCAGAUCUGGAAUUGGAGUGAUUCCUAAGGCUUCCUUUGUUGAAUGCAUGGGUUGCCUCCCAAGUAGCACUUGCUUUAACGUCUUGCAGCCGGACGAAGAACAUGUUCAUUCCCCCAUUGGAGCCCACGGCAUGCAGUGGGAUCUCCUCCACGACAUGCUCAACAAAGUUCUCAUAGUAAGGCUUCAAUCGAUGUCCAUUCACCUUGAAUUCUUGUCCAGUUUUCAAACUUUGUAUUUGGACUGCACCAUGCACAAAAACAUUAGUGAUAACAAAUGGACCAACCCACUUAGAACGUAACUUACCUGGGAAUAAACGAAGACGGGAGUUAAAUAGCAACACUUUCUGCCCAAUGGAAAAUGUUUUGCCUCUAAUCAUCUUGUCAUGGAACGCAUUGGUCUUCUCUUUGUAAAUCCGGGCAUUCUCAUAAGCAUCAUGCCCAAUCUCAUCAAGCUCGUUCAAUUGGAGCUUUCUAUGAUUUCCAGCCGUGUCCACAUCCAUAUUGAAGGUUUUGACCGCCCAAUGUGCCUUGUGUUCAAGUUCCACGAGUAGAUGGCAUGGCUUGCCAUAGACUAGCCGAAAUGGGGACAUACCAAUGGGCAUUUUGUAAGCCGUUCUAUACGCCCACAAUGCAUCCUCCAAACGCAAGCUCCAAUAUUUUCUAUUUGGCCUAACGGUCUUUUCCAAGAUUUGCUUGAUUUCUCUAUUCGAAACUUCGGCCACUUGUUUGGGGGUGAUAAGGUGUGGAAACCUUAUGCAUCACAUUGUACUUUUUGAGCAGCGCCUCAUUGGUGCAGUUGCAAAAAUGAGACCCACCAUCACUUAUUAGCACUCUAGGCAUCCCAAAUCUAGAGAAAAUGUUAGAUUUAACAAAAUCUGCAACAACUCUAGAAUCGUUAGUUCGGGUGGCUUUGGCUUCCACCCACUUCAACACAUAAUCAACUGCAAGUAAAAUGUACGUAAAACCAAAAGAAGUAGGGAAAGGACCCAUAAAAUCAAUACCCCAAACAUCAAAGAUUUCAACAACAAAGAUGGGUACCUGCGGCAUUUGAUCUUUUUGGCCUAUAUUACCUGUCCUUUGGCAGCGAUCACACGUUAAACAAAAUGUUCUAGCAUCUUAAAACAAAGUAGGCCAAUAAAAACAACAUUCAAGAACCUUAAAAGUUGUCCUUUGGGUGCCAAAAUGACCCCCACAUGCAUAUGUGUGACAAAAACUUAAAAUGGAAUGAAAAUCUGAUUCAUGCACACAUCUUCUUAUAAUCUGAUCUGGGCAAUAUUUCCACAAGUAUGGGUUAUCCCAAACAUAAAAUCUAGCAUCCUUCUUAAGUUUAUCACGUUGGAAUUUGUUUAGGGUGCUAGAAACUUGUUUAGUCACCAAAUAAUUCACCAAAUCUGUAUACCAAGGCUCACUUACCUUAAUGGACAAGAGUUGUUCAUCUGGAAACGUUUCAGAGAUGGGAAGAGCCUCCUCUUCACGCACCAACCUGCUUAGAUGGUCGGCAACUACAUUGUCACUCCCCUUUUUGUCCUUAAUUUCGAUAUCAAACUCUUGAAGUAGAAGCAUCCAACGAAUGAGUCUAGGUUUAGCUUCUUUCUUUGUGAACAAGUACUUCAAGGCUGCAUGGUCAGUGAAAACAAUAACUUUAGUGCCAAUUAAAUAUGAUCUAAACUUAUCUAAUGCAAAGACAACAGCCAAGAGCUCUUUCUCAGUUGUUGAAUAAUUUAAUUGAGCAUCAUUUAAGGUACGAGAAGCAUAAUAAAUAACAUGUGGCAGCUUGUUUUUCCUUUGACCCAAAACAGCCCCAAUUGCAUAAUCCGAUGCAUCACACAUGAGCUCAAAGGGAAUGGUCCAAUCUGGUGGAAUGAUGAUUGGUGCCGAGGUAGCAAGGUUUUGAUGUGGUUGAAUGCUUCCUCACAUGCCUUGUUGAAGUCAAAUGGUGCAUCCUUUUGAAGGAGACGGCAAAGGGGUUGUGCAAGCUUUGAAAAGUCCUUGACAAAUCUUCUAUAGAACCCUGCAUGCCCAAGAAAAGAACGAACCUCUCUAACCGAAGUUGGAGAGGGUAAGUGACGUACAAGAUCUACUUUAGACUUAUCUACCUCAAUCCCAUGUUCAGAAAUUAUAUGACCCAAAACUAUACCUUGUUUAACCAUGAAAUGACAUUUUUCCCAAUUGAGAACAAGGUUAGUUUCAACGCAUCGUUUUAAGAUCAAACUGAGAUUAUGCAAACAACCAUCAAAAGAGUCACCAAAAACACUAAAAUCAUCCAUAAAAACUUCAAUAAUUUUCUCAACAUAAUCAGAAAAUAUGCUCAUCAUGCAUCUUUGAAAUGUGGCAGGUGCAUUACAUAAACCAAAUGGCAUGCGACGAUAUGCAAAUGUACCAAAAGGGCAUGUGAAAGUGGUUUUUUCUUGGUCCUUGGGUGCUAUGACAAUUUGAUUAUAACCAAAAUAACCAUCAAGAAAACAAUAGAAUUUAUGACCCGCUAACCUUUUAAGCAUUUGAUCAAUGAAUGGCAAAGGAAAGUGAUACUUCCUUGUGGUGGAAUUGAGCUUCCUAUAAUCAAUGCAAACCCUCCAACCUGUUAUGACACGAGUAGGCACGAGCUCAUUCUCUUCAUUUUUCACCACUGUCACGCCAGACUUUUUUGGAACACAUUGAAUUGGUGAGACCCAAUGGCUAUCCGAGAUGGGAUAAAUCACUCCACAAUCAAGUAGCUUGAUAAUCUUCUUUUUCACAACUUCCAUCAUUAGAUGGUUAAGACGGCGUUGAGCCUCUCUAGUUGGUUUGGCCCCCUCCUCAAGAAAUAUGCGAUGCAUGCAAGUGGUAGGGCUUAUUCCCUUGAUGUCGGCCAAAGUCUAACCUAUGACAGAUUUGAACUCCUUCAAAACACGAACAAGUUUUUCUUCUUCUUGGGUCGUGAGGAAUGAUGACACAAUGACAGGUAAGGUCUCUUGUUCCCCCAAGUAAACGUACUUCAAAUGGCUUGGUAAUGGUUUUAGUUCAAGGGUAGGUGCCUGAAUUACUGAAGGAAAUGUUUUAUCAGUUGAAACGGGAAUUGACUCAAAGUUAGAAAGCUUACCAACAUGCUUUGGCAACGAUUCAAGGGCAGCAACCAUUUCACUUAGUUCCCCACACCAUGGCACGGCAUUGAGUCCUUCACACAAGGCCACGGCAUAGAGUUCAUCACUUGAGCCGUGGGUUAGCAUAGGGCUUGCUGUUUUGAUUUCCAUUCCUCUUGUAAUGACUCUUUCAAGUGCAUCAUCCUUCAAAUCGUCAAAAUAUCCCUGCGCCAACGAAUCAACUAUAUCAAUAGCAAAACAUGAAUGAUCAUCAUUAGGAAACUUCAUAGUUUCAGAAAUAUUGAACUUAAUAACUUCCCCAUCAAAUUCCAUCGUUAAUGUGCCAUUGUACACAUCAAUCUUAGUUCGGGCAGUUUUCAUGAAUGGUCGUCCAAGGAGGAUGGGCAAUGUAGGAGAAUGGUCUAAGUCUUCCAUGUCAAGGACGUAGAAAUCCGCCGGAAAGAUUAAUUGAUUUACCUGUACCAAAACAUCUUCCAAAACUCCUUUUGGAUAGACAUUAGAUCUAUCGGCCAAUUGAAUAAUCACACCAUCCUUUUUCAACUCACCAAGGUUCAUAGAUGCAUAAAUUGAGUAAGGCAUGGCAUUAAUAGAUGCACCUAAAUCUAGCAUGGCAUGUUCAAAACGAUUGUUGCCAAUAACACAAGAAAUUGUAAAACUACCCGGAUCCUUGCAUUUAGGGGGCAAUUUACGUUGUAAGAUGGCUGAGACAUUUUCACUUACCUUUACAACCUCCUUGUUCGAAAUUCUUUUCCUAGUUGUGCAAAGUUCUUUUAAAAACUUGGCAUACCUUGGCACUUGCUUGAUUGCAUCAAGGAGUGGAAUGUUAACUUGAACUUUCCUAAAUGUAUCUAGAAUGUCCUUUUCAGCUUCCUCGUUCUUUGUUUGCAUGAACCUACGAGGAAAAGGUAUAUUCAAAGGAAUAACAUUAGUAGAACCCGAAUUGGACACAUUCUUACCUUUGUUGGACAGAUUGAGUGGUGUUGGUGCUAUUGGAACUUGCGGCAAGGAUGUUUCUAUCUUUGCCGUGGGUGGACUUGCUUCAUUCUCUUCCAUUUGCAACAUUUCAUCCUCCUUGUGACCUGUUUUUGAUGAAGAACCUGCCUCAACCUCCUUGCCACUUCUUAGGGUGAUUGCUUUGGCUGAUUCAAACCCUCCCUUUGGAUUUGCAAUGGUGGAACUAGGGAGUCUUCCUUGGUCUGGAAACUGUCCUACAAAUUCAGCAAUCUGCCCAAUUUGUUUCUCUAGUUGAUCCACCAUUUUGUCUUGGCUUUGCAUUGCUUUGGUUUGAUUUUUUUGCCCUUGAGACAAAUUGGUUAGUAACUUAAGAAGUGUGUCAUUAUCCAAAGUGUUACCUGAAGUGUUUGGAGCAGAUUGUGGAGGAGCUUGUGUAGGUGCGUAUGGCUUGGUGCCCAGGGGUUGUUGCCUAAAGCCUCAUUGUUGAUUGGGUUGUUGUGACUCCCUCCACUUGAAAUUUGGAUGGUCUCUCCAACCGGGAUUAUAUGUGUUGGAGUAUGGAUUGUGUUGGAAAUAUGCCCUCAAAGUCAAUCUUUGGAAGAAACCUUUUAGGACAAUGAAUGGAUGUAUAGAUGAUUCUUGUACUUCAAAUGGCAAAGAUACUAAUUAGGACUAUCUCAACACACGAUAUAUGUCCUAAAUAGUGAAUCCAUGGACAAUGGAUUGAUGGAAGAAGUAAUCUAAUGAUGUUAGACUACAGAGACCUUCUUCACAUAACCAUCAUGUCCAAAAGGUUACUGGUUAUAGGAUUGUCGGAGGGAUACUGACAAUGCAUAGACCGGUACAUACUAUGUUCGUUUCAAUUGGAAGGAUGGAAAGUCUCGUACCAUUCGUGUAGUGACACUAAGACAGGUAUGUAGGUGCUCAUUAAGGGAAUGAGUUCACUGAACACAAUCGAACGAGAGUACUUGCAUGGAGGUCUACUCACAUGUCAAGCAAGUAACUCUAAUGGUUGGAAUAAUGUAAGUAGUCAUUUGACUUGAGGCAUCAUAGUUGUCUUGUGUUUAGCUAAUCAUCUUCUCACCCUUUUGGUUAUUCCUUCAUCCUUCUCACUACUCUAGUGGGUGAGGAUCUUUAGAGGUCUUCAACUUUGGAGACUUAAGGAGAACUAUUGAGCACUCAUUCUAACAAAGUGGAGGAGGCAAGGAGGGAGGCUAGGCUCAAAGAGUUCCAACAACAAAGGGCUUGGAGGUGGUCCAUCCUUGGUCUAAAGUCUAGAUCAAGAGGUAUAAAACUACUCCUACACUUUGUUCUUCAAUAAAUUGUUUUUGAUGCAUCAUACAUAAACCUAUGCAUCUUGAAGGGGAUUUGCAUGACUAUAGCCUUGAUAUUAUUUGAUAACAUGCUUCCGUUGCUUUCGUAUAUAAAUUUUGAAUUGUAUAUGCAUGCUAGUCACUAGAAAUCCCACAUGAAAUCUCCCAAUUUUCCCUUCAAGUGGUAUCAGAGCCAAAAGUUUAUGUUUGAUGUGUCCUUUUGGAUUUUAUGCAUAUGGGUUUUAAUUUUAUGUAUGACAUGUUAUUGCUUCAUUCAAAGUAUGUUUAUCUUUUGUUUUUCAAGUGUUGAAAAAUAUGAAUCAAUAGUUGAAAAGAUAUGUAUGCAAAAGUGUUUUGGAUGCAUGAAUGAAGAUUGAGUUUAGAACAAAAUUUUGGGGUUUUGUUCCAAAAAGGGGGCACGGCAAAGGGGUUUUUUUUUGGCUAAGUGUUUGUGUUUUAUUUUGAAUCACACACACACACUUUGAAGCUAGAAAGAAUAGAUCUUGUCACUUUUGUUUUUUUGGGUUUGAAAAAAUCACCAAGAAUAGUACAAAUCUUGAAAAUUGUUUUCAUGGUUUUGUUCUUGGUGUUCAUGGUUUGGUUUUGGUGAAAAUGGUUUCAUUUGUUUUUCAUGCAUCGUUUUGUGGUUUUGGAUGAUGUAAAACUUACCAUCCAUAGCCAUUUCCCAAAAUUUAUUAAACCCUAGACUUGACUAGGUGAAUUUCCAUCACCAUUUACUCUAAAGUCCUUAAAGCCUAAAAGUCCAAGUGACAAGUAAAAUUUUGGAUUUUUCUACUUUAUGUUGAUUUAAUUGCAAUAUGGGUGAGACCUCCCAUCCCUCUUAAUGUGGCCGGCCACCCUAGUGGAUUUAUCCACUUGUUGGGGCUACUUUUGUAAUUUUAAAAAGUUGAUAAUACUUUCAAGUAUUUACGGUUUGACCCCUAACUUUUUGUAUUUGCAUUUAGGCUCCUACUAACUAAAAAUCUAAAAUAUUUGAUUUUAAUUUUGUUAGUUGUUUAAACUCAUAAUACUAUUAUGCCCAUAUGCACUAAAUCUAAUUGUUUAUGUUGCAUUCCAAUUGAUUAUUUAAUGUGAUUAAGUAGUUAGAAAAAUGGUUAACUAUGGACUUAUGCCUUAAAACGAUAAUUGAGCUAUGAGAAAGGGCGCUAAACUCAAAUUGUUUGAACCUUGGGAAUGUGUUUUAAUUACUGUUUCAAUUGGACCUUGUCACGAUUGGACUUUAAUCAUUCUCUCCCUCUUAGUAUGUAAUUUGUAGGAAUUGGUACAAAUCGGUUUGUAAUUCUUAUUACUUCUUAAUCUCUUUUAAUUAGUUGAUUCCCUCUAGUGCUAGACUAGAGUUUCUUUAACUAUUGGUAAGGAGACAUAACUAAAAGAGGGUUUUGACAUGAGAUUAAAGAUUAAAUGGGUCCAAUGCCCUAAUUAGCAAUGAAUGAUUGUCUUUCAUUUCUAAUGGCUCAAUGAAAAUUGUUUUAAUUGGAUUGAAAAGCACGUAAUUAAAAUUGACACAACCUCCCCGAGUUCUUAUAUUCAACAAUGUUGGCUCGUUGUUGCAAUAACCUAAUAAGUCCAUGGUCAUCCAAGAGCCUAAGAUAACUAUAAAGUCCAAUUUCAAAAGGAAUGCAAAAACCGUUAGUAGUAGUAGUUACUUCCAAUAUUUGAAAAAAUUCGUUUUUGAUAUUGAUUUGUUUUUCUCAAAACAAAUAGUGGGAGUAUCAUACGCUACUAAACUAUAAUGAAUACAAUUAGUAGUUAUAUAUAUAUCUCCAAUAUUUUGAAAAAAUGUUUUGAUAUUGAUUUGUUUUAUGAAAACAAAUAGUGGGGAUAUCAUAUGCUACUAAUUUCAUUAACUUUGGACUAGUAGUUAUAAUAGGACACAAUUUAUUUGAAUUGUGAUUAAAUAAAUAAAAUUGAUGAGACCUUAAAAUCCCUCAACCAACAAACAAUUUUUAAGUUGAAAGCGUAAGAGGUGCUUUGAACACUUCUUUCGUGGCCUUCCACCAUGGUAGGCUCCAAUCGUUUAUGACUUGUACACCGCCUUCACCCUAUCAUGGGGAAGUGCAAAGUGCAUGCUUAUACUUCAGGAGGAGUUUAUAUUAAAACAUUUGAUGAGGUGAAGGUAGGCAACGAGUGUGGCCAACAUCGUAUCAUCGUGAGGUCAUACUUGAACCCCUAUCUAAACCGGCAUGGUGGGAUCGAAACUUAACUAAGAGAAAUGGUGCCAACAUCGUAUCAUCGUGAGGCAUUGUUCUCUAGAGGCCAAAAAGAUGGGUAAUCACAAGAGGUUGUUGUGAAUGGGUAAGUGUACCCUCUCAUUAUUAUUUUUUGCUAGCCGACAUCGUAUCAUCGUGAGGUGGGCUUGGUAAUAGUGAGCCUCCCAUAACCCGCUAGGAGCUUUCUUUGAAAUCUCCCGGAUUCCAUCUUGAGGGAUAUGGAAUUUGCCAAAAAUGGUGGGUGGUGUCAUUCGGUUUAAAGACCCGAAUCGUUUGACUUAAUCAACAAUCAAACUAAUUUAUUUUAUUGUUUAUGUAUUUAGAUAUGGUUGGAAGCACACUCGCGAAAAUACUCGACAAACAUUGCCUAGAGGGGCACAAUUUCCCAUCAUGGUAUCGUAAUGUCAAGAUUCUCCUAACAUUGGAGAAGAUUGUUUACGUGCUAGACAAGGCUCCACCUCACAUACCUCUCGGCCCUGAGGCCACUGAGGAUGAACGUGCUAAGUAUGACAAGCACGUUGAGGAUGAAACACAAGCCAAGUGCUAUCUGUUGGCUUCCAUGAAUGAGGAGCUACAGAGACAGCACGAGGGCAUGGACAGUGCAUCUUCCAUAAUACUCCAUCUUACGGAGUUAUAUGGUGAAGGGACGCGUAACCGUCGCUUUAGCACUGUUAGUGAACUUGUGAAGACCAAGAUGGUCCAGGGGGCCCAGUGCAUCAAAAUGUACUGAAGAUGAUAGGACUCAUUGAACAAUUGGAGAACCUAGGUACUCCACUUGACGGGGAAUUGGCCCAGGACUUCAUUUUGGCUUCUCUUUCUGAUUCAUUCUCGCAGUUCGUUAUGAACUACAAUAUGAAUAAGAUGGAUAGUACUCUCUUUGAGUUACUAAACAUGUUAGUAACUGCCGAGAAGACUAUGAAGAAAGAGAACGUUGUAGGGACUUCUGCAGUAGCCUACAACAAGCCAUCCUCUUCCAAGGCUAAGCCGCAAGGCAAAGGCAAAGGGAAUGAGAAGAAGUCUCCCACUCCUAAGCCGCAAGGAGGAGUGAGGAAAAAGAAGGCAAAUGAGCCCAAAGGGACUUGCCACCACUGUGGAAAUGAGGGGCAUUGGAAGAGGAAUUGCAGGUUAUACCUUGCAACUCUUAAGGACAAGCCACAAGGUAUGGUUUAUGUUCUUAUCUUCAAUUCUAAUUGUUAGAUCUUCUAAAAAUUUAUAUUUUAUAUAAAUGGCUAAUCACUUGUAUAAUUGUAUAUAGGUGGAGGAGCCAAGUAGAAGAGGAACAAGCAAAGAAAAGUGUGGAGAAGGGUUCGGCCACCAUGUUUUUUGCUUACUACUUAGGAAGUUUGUUAGGCAUUUAAAGAUAGUCUUUAAACUUUCUUAUUUUGUUAUGAACUUAUUAAGUGGCUUCAUAUGAUGGAAGACCACUAUUAGUGCCUAAAUGUAUGAAGGUAUUUAAUUAGUCUCUAAAUGUAUAGAGCUAAUUCUUUUUGUAUUAAACAUUAUGAAUGUAUGAAUUAUCAUAUUAAUGUAAUGUGAUGAAUGCCUUCUAAUAUAUUAUUUCCUUAAAGUAGUGUUAUGAAUUGAAUAUUGUCUUGUAGUAUCCUAGUAGAGAUACAAGAAUUAUAUCAGUUAUUGUAAUGUGAUAACCAAACUUUAGACUUAUCUAUUAUGGAUAGAUCUCACGUGUUGGACAUAGAAGGAUACAAUGAAUCUUUAGAUUUGGUUCCAAUUGUCUACUUAUGAGUUCUAUAUGGAUUGACAAAGGUCUAGAAAUUCCUUGAUGAAAAGGAAGAUCACAGUAUAAUGAUAUAAGUAAUAAGAAAAACGUUUCUUAUAUGAUUAUCACUUAAACCACAAUAAUCAAGAUCACUCUUGAUUCAAUUAGUAGUUUUGAACAACUAAUUAGGCAUUCUUAAAAUUGGUUUUAAAAUGUCAAAUGUGUUAGUGAUUAAACCAAGAAAGAAGUGUCUAAAUCUAUAAAAUGUUUAAAGACUUUAGACACUUAAUAACGAGACAUUAACUUAGUGAAGAUUGAAACAAACGAGCUUGAAAGGUUUUAAAGCUACUACACAAUGUCCUCUACCCGUAUGCUCCACGUUUAUACAUUUUGAAUGUAUGAAGUGAUUUCUCAUUAAAGUCAUGAGAAAUAGUGGGAGGUGUGAAAAAUGAUAUAAACUUGAAUAUGAUUGGUUUAUAGUUGUCUAAAGAAUAAUAGUACUUGACUAUUAUUAAGAGUUUGUAAUUUUAAUUGUUAAAGGACUCAAGCUCUUCAAAAGUUAAAAUUCUAUGAUGUGUAACAUUCUAAAGAAUAGUCUUUGAAUGUUGGUUUCGUCAACCUAACAUAAAAUGGUUAUAUGUUGGGAGUUGUCCAUCAUUCUCUUUUAUGAGAACAAGCUAAUAACAAAGCGUAUGGACAAAUUUGAUGAAACAAAAGGGAAUAGUUUUAAAAUGAGUCACAACAUAUGGUUUAACAACAAGACAAUCCAAAUUCAACAUCUCAUGUAACUAUAACGCUCUAUGUAGUUUUGAUAAAAGAAUUAUAUCAACCACCUAGAAGGAAUGGUUGAGUUUCUAUAUCCUUAGUAGGAGCCAUGCUUCCACUAAAGACUUGGAUAAUUCUUAUAUGACUACAUUAAAGGUCUUAGUAUGACUAAAACUUGGAGUAUGGUGUAUGACACCAUAUGAUUUAAAUGAAUAGACUUGAUAAAGCAAGUCACACAUUUCAAAUGGAAUUACUUGAGAAGGAAUUCUUUUGUGUAUGUUCGUUUAAAUAACUUGUGUUAGCUAGCGUUGUUGAUAGUUUCAAAAUUGUUAACAUCAUUAAUAAGCUAAUGGAUCUCAAUGAUUGUCAAUAGAUCCAAGACAAGUUAGUGGGAGCAAUAUGCAUUCAAAUCAAGAAAAUAUAAGUGUUAAGUUUUUGAAUGAAUGCUAAGUUACAACAAGCCUAGUGGGAGUGAUGUCAUAAUUUGAGCAACAAGAUAUGAAUAAAGUCUAUUUGAUAGACUUGAUAAAACAUAGAUGUUACUCGAAAAAAAUGACAAAAUGUGACACGGUCAAUUUUAAAGUAUAGACUUGAAAUUGGACUUAUUGAUAUAACAAGGCUAUUUCAAGGAUGUUAUUUGGGGAAAUUAAAUCUCAAAUGUUGAAGAUUUGAGAAGGUGUUUUCCUAUAUGAUAGAAAAUCACUUUCAUAACCCUUAUAAUGAAUGUGUCAUAAAAUCACAAAAGGGACACAUGUAUGGACUUGUGAGAUGAUAUCCAAAGGUGAAAAGCCACAGGGGUUGUCACUUUAAGAUAUUACUAUAGCACAGGAUCAGAACCAUAGCAACUGAUAGAGUAUUAUUGCCUUUAAGAAAGGAACAUCAGAGUGGGACUCUGGAAGCGUGCAUUCACUUAGGUUAUUAACCAAAGUGAAAAAUAACCCAUUUUAACAAAUGGAACUUCAUAAUAGAUGAAGUACUAAUCAUAUGAAUGUAUUGUUAGUAUUGUACUACAAUGGUCUCAAGGUUGGAGCAAAGUAUGUAUAAAGUAUACAAACGAAAUAUAUGGCGAUAUAUUGUUUUAGAAACUGUUUCAAAAGGUGUUUUGAAUAGAAGGGGUUCUUAUAAUACCAAUGAUUGAAUCCAAACCAUAAGGUCGUUAGUUGGACACUACGACGUAAUGGGGCGAUAGCUCAAGCCAUGGAAUCAAGGUCUCAUCAAAGUAUUUGAACACAAGAAAGAGACAUCAUCAAAUGUUUUAGAAACAUUUGAUAAGUAAAUCCCUUUUAAUUUAUAAAAAGGGAUUAAUACAUAACCAAGUUAACCUACGAGCAUAAGCUCACUCAACUAGUAUCUAUGAGAUACACUAGUGAUUGACUUUAGUGCAAGUGGGAGAUUGUUGGAAAUAUGCCCUGAAAGUCAAUCUUUGGAAGAAACCUUUCAGGACAAUGAAUGGAUGUAUAGAUGAUUCUUGUACAUCAAAUGGAAAAGAUACUAAUUAGGACUAUCUCAACACACGAUAUAUGUCCUAAAUAGUGAAUCCAUGGACAAUGGAUUGAUGGAAGAAGUAAUCUAAUGAUGUUAGACUACAGAGACCUUCUUCACAUAACCAUCAUGUCCAAAAGGUUCCUGGUCAUAGGAUUGUCGGAGGGAUACUGACAAUGCAUAGAUCGGUACAUACUAUGUUCGCUUCAAUUGGAAGGAUGGAAAGUCUCAUCCCAUUUGUGUAGUGACACUAAGACAGGUAUGUAGGUGCUCAUUAAGGGAAUGAGUUCACUGAACACAAUCGAACGAGAGUACUUGCAUGGAGGUCUACUCACAUGUCAAGCAAGUAACUCUAAUGGUUGGAAUAAUGUAAGUAGUCAUUUGACCUGAGGCAUCAUAGUUGUCUUGUGGUUAGGUACUUGAUCUUUAAUUAUGUCAAAGUCACUCCAUCCGCGGGUGUCCGCGGCAUAGUUGGGGUUAAGCCACUUAGUCAUGGAGGCAAGUGAAUGCGCAACAAGGAAUCUCUAAUCCUCGUUAAGAGAGGAUGAAUACUCUAAGAUAUGAUUCGGGAAUCUUCAGCCGAAGUAUCGAGCGUAAUAAAGGAAAGCGUUCCUAUACAACUCAAAUGAAUCAUAUAAGAAGGAAUAAUCACAUUAGGGGUUUGACAUAAUAUAUCCAUACCCUAGUAAUGUGAUUGAGAGUAUUGUUUUAGAGAAUGAUCGAAUUACAUUGUAAUUCCAACUGAAUAGGUUAUCCGAACAAAUUCUACAUUAACUUGGGUAGCCAUGAUAUAUGGUUAGAUGUCACUCAUGACUUGUGAGUUCUUCUAGAUGAUUAAAUGUAGUCGUCAAAGAAGAAGGUGAAUUAAAAGUAAGUUUUAAUUCACUAAGUGAUUGGAUUAAAAAUAAUCAAUUGGAUUGGUGCCAAUCACUUCACUGCCUUGCUAAUUAGAACCUAAAAUGAUUGUUCACCAAUACACUCUUGUAGUGAGUAACUAAUGGAUGAUGGAAGUAAUUAAUUGGAUUAAUUAAGUGUUGUGAUUAAUUAGAAUGUCUAAAGAAAUCAUAAAAGCGAUAAAAUAUCGUUUUGGGCUUAAAGAAAAGUUCGGGUCUAAUUGGGCCCAUUGGGCUUUUAUGCAAGCAUAGGACGACUUGAAAUAAUAAAAGCCCAAAGCCCAAACAACACUAAAGGGGCCGGCCAAAGGAGGGAGAGAGAGAGUCAAAUGUUGACUUGUUUCUUUUUGGUUAUAAAAGGAACUUUAUAGCACAAAGUUUCAUUAGGGUUUUUUGAAGUGUUAAAACAACAAAAGAGAAAAAGAAAAUAUCUCUCUCAACACUCAAAGGGCCGGCCACCAAAGGGGGGUUUAGCUAAUCAUCUUCUCACCCUUUUGGUUAUUCCUUCAUCCUUCUCACUACUCUAGUGGGUGAGGAUCUUUAGAGGUCUUCAACUUUGGAGACUUAAGGAGAACCAAGGAGCACUCAUUCUAACAAAGUGGAGGAGGCAAGGAGGGAGGCUAGGCUCAAGGAGUUCCAACAACAAAGGGCUUGGAGGUGGUCUAUCCUUGGUCUGAAGUCUAGAUCAAGAGGUAUAAAACUACUCCUACACUUUGUUCUUCAAUAAAUUGUUUUUGAUGCAUCAUACAUAAACCUAUGCAUCUUGAAGGGGAUUUGCAUGACUAUAGCUUUGAUAUUAUUUGAUAACAUGCUUCCGUUGCUUUCGUAUAUAAAUUUUGAAUUGUAUAUGCAUGCUAGUCACUAGAAAUCCCACACGAAAUCUCACAAUUUCCUUUUAGAUUGUGCCUUAGCUGAUUUUGGCUUUGAAAUCCAAUUGCAUUAACGCUUUCCCAUCCACCAUUCUCAAUGAGUUGAGGACACUUUUCAGAAGCAUGUCUUUGGAUAGAACACACACCACACAGCAUUGGUCCUUGGAUCUUCAAACGUUCGGCCAUCUGAGACACAAUGGAAGUAAGAUUAGCUAAUUGAGAUUGAAUGUCGGAUGAAUGUCGGAUGUGGAACUUACCUCAUUAACUUGUUGCCGUGGGGUAUCCCUUUGCCUAAUGCCUUCGUAUUAUUGUGCAUUCAAUGCACGGUUUGCAAUGAGUGUUUUGGCUGCCAUGGGUGUCUUAUCUACCAAAGCUCCUCCCGCCGAGGCAUCUAGCAUUUGACGUUCGAUUGGUAGAAGGCCUUCAUAGAAGUAUUGAAGUAGCAACUCUUCCUUCAUUUGAUGUUGUGGGCAAGAAGCAACAAGUGCUUUAAAACGUUCAUAAUAGGUUGGAAAGGAUUCACCUUGGUUUUGUUGGAUGCCACUUAUCCGUUUCCUCAAGAGAAUGACUCUUGAAGUAGGGAAAAAUUUCUCCCAGAACGCUCGUUUCAUACUUUCCCAAGAUGUAACCGUCCCAGGUGCAAGUUCAUACAACCAAUCUUUAGCUUUAUCCAUUAGAGAGAAUGGACAAGCUUUCAUCUUCAAGAUGCUGCCAUCAACGUUAACCGAGGUCAUGCUCGAACAAACCACUUCAAAUUCCUUCAAGUGCUUGUUAGGGUCCUCCAUGGACAGCCUAUGGAACUUUGGGAUGUGGUGCAGCAAGCUAGACUUCAAUUCGAACUCCUCGGUCUUGCCUUGAGCUGCCAUGUGAUAUUAAAUGCAUAAGGGUGCGACAUUGUCCAAUCCCGAAGGCGAAAGCUCCUUGAUUAUUUGGUUGUCGGCUGCCAUGAUUGGUGCUUCCUCAAAAAUCCCAACUGUGCCCCUCUCUUCUUCUUCUAAAACUUGUUCUUCAAGGUCAGGUUCAUGGCUAGGUGGGUUAGACUCUUGUUGGUUCCUCCUUCUUCUCAAAGUUCUCUCAAAAUCGUCGUCAAAGUCCAAAAUAUGCUCACGUACAGGUUGGGAACUUCGAGUCAUACACUAGUACCUAAAAACAAAGAAACAAAACAAAUCAACAACUAAGAUAGAAAACAAACGAAAAUAAAAAGAAUAACGAGGGAUUAGCAAAGUUGCUAAUCCCCGGCAACAACGCCAAAAUUUUGAUGCAAAAUAUAUAAGCACACAAAUUAAACCGUCUUUUUAUCAAUUGUAGUAAAGUAUGUAAGUAGGGAUCGUUCUAGACCGGGGAUUAGGAGGGAUUGCUAAAACACUUGAAACUGACUCAAAAACGUAAAACAAAGUUUAAAACACUAAACUAGACUCAAAGAAUGCAAAACUAAACUCUAAAACACUAAAACAAACCAAAAGACUCAAAACAGCACAAAAACACUCAGAACUGCCUUAAAAACACUUUCUGGGCAGUUUUGAACUCUAACACAAACUUGGACGAAUUUGGGUUAUAACUUGAAUCAAAACACUUAAAAACACAAACUAAAUUGAUUUCUAACUAAUCUAACACUUUAAAAUAAUGGGGCAUUUGGUUUUGACGAAUUUGAAAACAAAGAAAACAGAUUGUAACUAAAACAGAUUUUUAAAACGAAUUUGGAUGAAACUAUGGAUGGAAGGCUAGCUAGAGGGUUCUUCUCCACACACGACACACUUGCACAUAAACCAAUUUUCAGUUGUUCUUUCGAUAAAUCAUGAAACUCAACACCCCAGGUUAAUUAGGUCCGCUUAAAUUAACCUUCAAGUUCUCCUUAAGUUAUUGAAUUGGAUGGGAAAAGGCAUACAAUAAUUCAAAGCAUUCUUCAAAAGUUCUUUACGUGAAAAGCACAAUAAAUAUACAAUCAAAGAUCAUUAAGCAUCAUGAAAACUAUAAGUAUUGACGAGGCAUUUGUUACUAUGAUGAGCAUGAAACUAGUGCCAAGAAUUCAUUUAACGGAAUCGUUUAUAAGCGACCUCCACUACUUGUGAAUAUAAGUUUGUAACUAUUAGGUGAAACUCCCUUAUACUCUAGCAUCAUUUUCAUGCAUGAAAACUAAGCGUGCACUCUUAAUAAACAUACAAAUAAGUUAUCAAUCAAGCAGUUAAACAAAUUAAAUCCACAACUUAUGAAAUCACAACUGAAGGUAAUCAAUUCAUAUUGCAAGUAUCUACAUGGUUUCGAAUCCCCCCUUAACUAAGAGGGGUUUAGUUCCUCAUACUCACAAAACAAAGAUUAGUGAAUUGAAACAUUGAAAGCAAAAGAAAGAUUACCCCUAAAACGUUCCAGCAAUCCUAAAUCGAAUGGCAAGCACGUCCAAGGGCUCUCUUCUUUCCUCUUUGCUGCGGCACAAGGGUUGGUGGUGAGUUUUGGGGGUUAUGGAUGGUGUAGAUGUAUAGAAUUGUGUUUAGGAUGGAUGUAUGGUGCGGCAAGAAGUGUUUGGGUCAGAAACUAUGGAAAUUGGUGAAGGAUGGGCACGGCAAGGAAGGUUGAAUGGUUUCUGGCGUGAAUAGGAGUGAAUGGAUGGUUUUUUACUGCAAAAAGGAAGUUUAUUUAAAGGAUUUCAGAAAUUAAAACCCUAGGUUAUUUAGGUAAACAGAAAUUAAGUCAAAAGCUUAUAGAAAUAGGAAAUCAAAUCAGAAACUUAAAGGAAAUUGACUAAUAUGUGCGGCAAAGGCAUAAAACACAAAAGGAAUGUGUUUUAAUGCAAGGAAAUAGGA
RNAcentral lists this long non-coding RNA (49644 nucleotides) under Malus domestica (apple). RNAcentral describes it as "long non-coding RNA (MDOM_LNC010486)". The record is from RNAcentral. Lineage: Eukaryota; Viridiplantae; Streptophyta; Magnoliopsida; Rosales; Rosaceae.